UUACUUAUAACAGCUUAAUGGACGGAUAUUGUUUGGUUAAUCAGGUAAAUAAGGCAAAAUAUGUAUUCAACACAAUGGCCGAGAGUAGAGCGUUUCCUAAUGUUCGGAGUUAUAAUAUCAUGAUUAAUGGCUUUUGUAAGAGUAAAAUGAUCGAUGACGCCUUGAAUCUCUUCGAAGAGAUGCAUCGCAAGAACUUGGUUCCUGACACUAUAACUUACAGUACUCUAGUUGAUGGCUUGGGAAAAUCAAGGAGAAUCCUUUGUGCCUUGGAGCUUCUUGAAAAGAUGCAUGAUCGAGGUCAACCCGCUAAUAUAGUCACUUACAAUUCCUUGUUGGAUGGGAUGUUCAAUAUCAAACAGCAUGACAAGGCACUUAUGUUAUUCAAGGAAAUGAAAGAGAGUGGCAUUGAUCCAGAUAUAUAUACAUAUAGCAUACUUAUAGAUGGCCUGUGCAAAAGUGGAAGACUUAAAAAUGCAAAAGAGAUAUUUCAAAAUCUUUCCAUUAAAGGCUGUUCUCCAAAUGUGAGGACUUACAAUAUUAUGAUCCAUGGGCUCUGCAAAGAGGGAUUGUUAGAAGAAGCAUUGGCCCUGCUGUCCGAAAUGGAAGACAAUGGUUGCUUACCAGAUGCUGUGACUUUUGAAACCCUUAUUCGUGCUUUGUUUGAAAAAGAUGAGAAUGACAUGGCGGAGAAACUUCUUCGGGAAAUGGUUGCUAGAGGCUUAUUGAAUUGAUAAAAGAAGGUAAGAUACAUCAACUCGAAUUGAAAUUACAUCUCAUUGUUGCUGAAUAUGUAUCAUAGUUUUGUAAAUUCUGUGUCUAUUGGGUUAGAGGACUUUGGCAAUGCCAUAACAUUAAUUAAUUUUGCACUUUCGAUUUUUGCAAUUGCUAUCAUCCUUUUGAAUUCCACUAUAUUGAUUCUUUAGUUGAUAUUCCUAGUUAUAGCUUACAGAUUUAGUGUUUAAGAUCUCUUUAUAGCGAUAGUGUUCUUUACUGUUCUUCUAUGAGAUCAUGUAUUUAUCAUGCUACAAACUAAGCAAAAAUAAAAAGAUUGAAAAUUUUGUUUUGUUGUUUGUUGUUUGUUCUCUGCUAUUCUGUUGUGCAACCUAUUUUUCCGUAUCUUUGUAGGUACGAUAUAUAUAUAUAUAUAUCAACCAUGAGCAUUUAUUGUUUAUUUGAUUGAAUCCUCUGGGUAUUGUUGUAAAAGGAAAUUUAAAUAGGUACUAAGGAUUUAUUCUUAGGCUAUAUAGUUUUCACUUCCAUCUUAAAAAUAAACCCACCUUCUAAAAUGCAUGUCUCCUCUUUUCAUCAACCUAAGCAACAUCGAGUCAAGGUUAAUAUGGUUCAGUUAUUUCAAGAUUUUUGGUCAUUUUCUUAAUUAAUGCUACUCAGUUGUAUUGCUUGGAAAUUGCUUCUGCUGAAAAUAUUACAUUAUGAAAUACUUUUUCAGAGAAUGUUUUUUCUGUUAAUUCUUAGAUAAAUUACUUCAUUAUUUCUUGUGUAGACAUUAUUGCAUUGUCUCUGAGUCUCUUUUUAUUAGCAUUUUAAAAAAAGUUACUGGCUUGGAGUUUUGUUAUGUGGUGUUUGUGAUGGGGGUGUUAAAAGUGAAACAAUACAGAAUUCUUUGAGUUUUUGCUAAUUUUGCCUCCAAAUAAUAAUUUUCCCUGCACAUAUCCUUCCAAUUCCUAAUUUUCGAUCAUCAUCAUUCAAUCAUAAUUUUUCUCUCCAAAUGAAUUUUUUUAUUACCAUCAUUCAACAAUAGCGAACACUUUCAGGACUCCAAUAAUAGUACGAUAGCUCCAGCAUCGUUGUACUUGUUUUGUUCUUAUCAAAUUUAACACUCAUGCUUUACUUUAAAAUUUUUUGUUUGGUAAAGUUUUAUUUCAGAAGUCAAUUACAUUAUUUUUUGUCAAUGUGACUUCUUCAGCCAUCAUAACCUAUACGUAUAAUAUACAUGUUAUGUAAUUUUUUUGUCAUUAUAGUACAAAUUCUAUGUUAUUAUUUUUAUCGUAUUUGUUACGUAUAUAAGGGCAUUUAAGUAAAUUCCUCUUCAUCGGAAUUUCACAUGUUUCCGUUGAGCGGGUAUCUCAAUCCCAAAAGUAGAGUGUCAAAAUAUAUAUUCAACACAAUGACCCAAAGUAGAGUGUCACUUGAUGUUCAAAGUUACAAUAUCAUGAUUAAUGGCUUGUGCAAAAGUAAAAUGGUAGAUGACACCUUGAAUCUCUUUGAAAAAAUGCGUCGCAAGGACUUGGUUCCAGACACGAUAACUAUUAGUAUUCUUAUUGAUGGCUUGUGCAAAUUAGGGAGAAUAUCUUGUGCUUCAAAGCUUCUUGUUGAAAUGCAUGAUAAAGGUCAACCUGCUGAUAUAAUCACAUACAAUUCCUUUCUUGAUGCUUUAUGCAAAAACCAUCAUGUUGACAAAGCACUUGUUUUAUUCAACACAAUUAAAGAUCAGGGCAUUCGCCCAAAUAUAUGUAUAUACAACAUACUUAUAGAUGGCUUGUGCAAAAGUGGAAGAUUUAAAAAUGUAAAAGAUUUUUCAAGAUCUUUCUGUUAAAGGCUAUUGUCCAAAUGUGUGGACAUACACUAUUAUGAUCAAUGGGCUUUGCAAAGAGGGCCUGCUUCAUGAAGCAUUGGCUUGCUUGUCAAAAAUGGAAGAUAAUGGUCGCUUACCAAAUGCUGUGACUUAUGAAAUAAUCAUUUGUGCUUUGUUUAAAAAAGGUGAAAAUGAUAACGCGGAGAAACUUCUUCGUGAAAUGAUAUCUAGAGGCCUAUUGCAAGGAGAAAAGUAGGUGAGAUUCUCUUUCUUUUUAACUUGUCUUUUGUUACCUUCUUCCUAAUCAUCUAUCUGUUCCAUAUUAUUGAUGCUUCUGAUUCUUUCUCUACAAGAUGGUGAUUCUUUGUUCUGUUUAGCCACACUUAGAUAUUUUCUGUCAUUGCUUAUUUGAUGUCUUUUUGUGUCAAGGUGGUUGUCACAUGUGUCUUGUGGGGGGUAUCUUGUUAUUUCCUUCUUUUAUUAUAUUUGUGCUUUGAUGUUAAGUUAUUCCUAACUAAGUUUGUUUUGAUUUCAUUAUUUCAAAGGGAAUCACUUGUUAAGUUUCUCUACACUCUUGUUAUUGUCUUCCAUUCUUUUCAUUUUCCCAUGCAGCAAUAUACUUGUUAGUUUACAGAGGUUUUCUACUUAGUUUUUGCUUCUUCUUGUUGUUAGUAGAUUAACCUUCUGAGACUUACCUAAACAAGUGAAAAUGUAGAUGUUCUUUCAAGAGUUUGUAGUAACUAGUAAGCAUGCAAUGCUUUUUUAUGUGUUCAACCUUUAUCGUAUUUGCUUUAGCUCUACUAUGCAGAUAGUGAAGAUAGAGAAUCAUUAUGGACAUGCAUAUGUGAUACCAAUGGAUUCUCUAAAGCGGCAGUAGGUGUUCAUAGCUCUAGUUGCUUUAAUCUUGCAACUGCACCUGGGUAUCUUCCUUAUUCCGUUUUGCUUCCAACUUGGAAGCUUUUCAAUGCUGCUACUGCUAAACCAAUUAUUAUUGUGCUUCUGAUAAUAUGCCUGCAAUUGCAGUUGCAGACCACAAUUUAAAACCCUUUACUUUACUUUCGUUUUGUAGAUUUAAGCCAUGAUUUGAAACCCUUGUAAUAUUUUUUCAAUUAUAUAUCUCGACGGCCUUAUUGGUGAUCUGCUCCUUUGUGAAAAAAAAAAAAUUAAUCCCAACUUAUUGCAUCGAGAAUGCAAUUAUAGACUUAUAGUUAAAGAAUUAUAUAUCUUGGUGACGCUUAAAAAUUAUAUAUAAAAAUUACAUUUGAUAUUGUCAAUUAUCAAUUAUAUGAAAUAAAAUAAAAAAAAUCAUGGUCCGAACUAAUCUACAAUUCUACAUAAAAGGGAGAAAAGGAAAAAAAAGUGAAUUGAUUUAAAAAUAAAUUAUUAUAUAAAUUCUUCUUUAGUAAAAGUCUGUUUUUACUAAAUGGGGUCAGUUAUAUAGAUCAAAGACGUCAUUUCGUUGUGUAGCCAUGCAUUGAGAUGUGACAUUGUUUUACAUUGGUUGUUGUAUACUAAACAAUCCUCCUCAUAUUUUCGGGUUUGGGAUAUUUUCGGGUUUGGGAUGUAAACAGAGGCCGAAUUAAAUUAUCAUAUAAAUUAGACAUAAUUAAAUAAUUUUAUUUUCAAAAAAAUAAUUAAAAUGUCUAAAGAAUUGCUCGUCAGCCUAACAAUAUUUGUGUUCUACUUCCUGUUCUUAUGUUUAGAAUAAAGUACACACAAAUCUCAUUCUAAUAGAAUCAUGGACCUAGUAAGAACAUUAAGAAUAUGGUGAAAACUCAUGUGCAGUCGAUUUCAUGUGAAACUGAUAGCUGAGAGCCGUUAGAUGAAAAUUUUGUCAAAUCAAUCAAAUCAUCUAACAGCUCUGAGUUAUCAACUUCACGUGAAGUCGACUGUAUCUGAGUUUCCACCUAAGAAUAUUUCCUUUUUGGUUUCCUAAGCGUGAAACACAAUGACUAAUCUUUUUGCUACAAAUCAUCCUAUUAAGAACAAAUGACUAGUUACAAGACGCUUUUCAUGACUAAGGUAGGAUUCAAACUUCUAACUUCUUAAUCAAGGGACCGAAUGAUAAAAUACCAAACUAUACUCAAGUAGUUAUAUCACCAAUAAUAUAAUCACACAUAGGAAUGUAAUGUCCGAAUAAUUCAUAUCACAUUUAUAUCACUUAUAAUAAGCGAGACUUCUCCCAUAUCUGGCACCCACUCAGUUAAAAGUUAGAACAUUGUUUAGCUCGUGUUUUGUUGCCUCUACGCGUUUGUUUGCUUUUAUAAAUAUGUAACACGAAAUUCUACUGAAAUUUUUGCUCAUGAUUGUUCAAUAUUAAUAUAGGCUUUUAAUUCUAAAUUAUUUGGGGGUAUUCACUAGGAUCAAUUUCACAUCAUCCUGAGUUUUCUGCUAUUUAAUUAAUAAAAUCUUAAGCUAUGGUCUAAAUAGAAUAAACUGUUCUUUAAUGGUUCUGCUAAAAAUAUUUUUCUUUCAUGUAUGUUGGCCCGCAAAAUACAAGUGUUACAAUGGCUAAACAUUCGGUACUAAUUAAACAUUUUCGUGAACCACCAGCUUUAUUUUUCUCAAUUCCAUUUCUUCAGUUGUUAUACAAUGCUCUCUCGAUGAAACUGCACCUCCUGCAAUUUUAAAGAACUAAAACUUUAGCCUAGACUUACCAGUUAAUAAAAGCAUGAACAAUCAAAAUCGAUUCAAUGCUAGAGAGGAAAUUCUUUAUUGUACAUUCACCUUUUCAAACAUCAAAUUCUUAAUUCUGAGUUUAUCUUAAGAUGAAUUCUUGGUACCUAUAAAUUGGUACUUAAUUUUUGCCCAUCUUACCUUUUAUAUCAAAUUUUAAAUUUUAAAAAAUUAUUUAUUUUUAUAUUUUUUAAAUUAAAUAUUAAUUUUUUAUUUUUUCNNNNNNNNNNNNNNNNNNNNNNNNNNNNNNNNNNNNNNNNNNNNNNNNNNNNNNNNNNNNNNNNNNNNNNNNNNNNNNNNNNNNNNNNNNNNNNNNNNNNNNNNNNNNNNNNNNNNNNNNNNNNNNNNNNNNNNNNNNNNNNNNNNNNNNNNNNNNNNNNNNNNNNNNNNAGGAAUAUAUAUGUAUGUCUAUAUUUCUUGUAAUGAGCUGGCAUUAUAAGACCAUUCUCAAUCCAGGCUGUCAUCUCUAGUUCUUUAUGAGAAAAAAUAUCCUAUUCAACCACAAGGUUGUGAUAAUGAAAGAAUUGAAAAUGAUAACAGGGCAAAGAAGCUAAAAUAAUGACAACUCAAUUUUGAGUAAAGAGAAUGCCGUGGCUAAAUGGAUGGCUAAUUAUACUAAUGCUAGUGAAAAUAGGAAGUUACAAACAAAUCAUAAAACAAGAAUUGAAUUUUGUAAAUAAAAGUAGUGAAUUCCUACUUUGAUAAUUCGAAAAAUGCUCUAUCUUUUCCUUUCACAUCAUAAUACACCGAAGAACUUACAUAACAAUUAGUCUAGCUAAGAAAUUUACAUAAUAACAAUUCAUUAAUAACCAUGAUUGAGAUUAUGUCAUUCUCAAUAUACUAGUUGACCUUGAAGAAGUUAAAUGACAAGAGAUUGCAAAAUUAUAAAACACUAGAAGAAAUGCAAGGUUAGCUAGAUGAAGCCUAUGUUGCAAUUAUACGUAAUAGAAAAAUAACAAAACUAGCAAUUGAGCAAGCACCACAGUAAUUAAAUAGGAUUCUGUUGUGGGCAACACUAAACUAGAGUUACUAGCAAAUAAAAGUGAGGAGCUGGACGUAAGUAUAAACUUCUGUCUUAAAAUGGUAUGUUUUAUUGUCAGGGGAAAAUGGUGAAAACAACAGAAUUAUUUUAGCUUAAAGUUCUAAUAUAUUUUGCAGAUAAAAUUAUCACCCAAGAAAUUAUGUUAUAUUUUUAAAUAGUAUAAUUUAAAGAAAGGAGUAUACUUUUAACUUUGUUUCUAAAACAAAUGUUAUGCCAUUUGUCACUCGAAAUUUAAAUUACAAAAAAUAGAAGUAAAUGGGGAAUGAAAAUUAUAAAACGGUUUCCUAUGGAAUAGAAUUGAUGAUUAUUUGCAGAAGAAUAUAAAUUCCAAUCCAACAUGAACAAUAUCAAAUUCAGUAUCUGCCUACUACACUUACAUACAUGCAAAUAUGUACCAAAUUUAGAGCCCGUUUGGGAAGUAGCAAAAGCUACUUUUUUUUUUUUUUUUUUGUUUUUGAAAAGUAAAAAGCAGCAUUUUAGAAAAAAAUUUUAACUUCUCGAAAAGUUAAUUUACAGCUUUUUGAAGAAGUAGAAAUAUAUAACUUAUCUACUUCUCGAUAAGUCAUUCUACCACUUUAUUAAAAAAAUUAAUUUCAAAACAAAAAAAAUUUACUUUCCUUCUUGACUCUGGAAAAAAUACUGACCACCACAAAUUAUGUUUAACGGUGGAGAGGGAAAAUUUGGAAAGUAAAAAUCGUAGGGGUAAAUGUAGAAUUACAAAAAAAGAAAACAGAGGGUUCAAUUUGAAAUUACUAAAAUCCGUGGCCUAAAUAAGAUAGUAAAAGCAGAAACAAUUAAACAAAUAACCUCGAACAAGCUUGAUUGUACCCUCACUCUGUUGGUGGUUGCCAGAAUGUUGUCAUUCCUCUCAUUCUCACGAAUCAUGUUAAGGUAUGCUCUUCAAAUCCCAAAUCCCUCUCCUUAUUGUGUUCCCUAUUCCGCUCUCCGUCUUUGCUUCCCUUCAACUUCAUCCCUACACUCUCACUCUCAGCCCCAAUCACUUGAUGAAGCUGUUGAUUCCUUCACUCGCAUGCUCUCUAUGCGUCGCCCUCCAUCCAUCAUCCAAUUCACCAAGAUUUUGGGAUCUCUUGCCAAGACCAACCAUUUCUCCACAGCCAUUUCCCUUUUUCAGCAAUUGCAAGCCAGGGGAAUCGCUCCCGACUUAUUUACUUUGAGCAUCGUGAUUAAUUGUUGUUGCGGCAUGGGUCGUAUGACGCUUGCUUUCUCUGUAUUGGCUAAGAUUUUCAGAAUGGAUUAUCAACCUAAUACGGUAACAUUGAAUACACUCAUGAAAGGUCUCUGUCUCUGUGGUAGUGUUGAAAAAGCAGUGCGCUUUCAUGACAGAGUGCUGGCUCAUGGAUUUCACUUUAAUCAAGUCACUUAUGGGACUUUGAUCAAUGGCCUCUGUAAGACCGGCCACACAUCAGCUGCUAUUCAAAUGUUGAGAAAGAUCCCACGGUAUGGCAUUGCUCCUAAUGUCUUCAUGUACAGCGCAAUUAUUGAUAGCCUCUGCAAGGAUACACUUGUAAGUCAGGCUUUUCAUUUAUUCUCUGAAAUGCUUGCUAAGGGAAUUUCUCCAGAUGUUAUCACAUACAGUUGUCUCAUUUUUGGAUUGUGUCUUGAGGGUCAAUAUAAGGAAGCCGUUGAUUUGUUAAGUGAUAUGGUGCUUAGAAACAUUACUCCUAAUGUUUAUACCUAUAAUACUUUGAUUGAUGGGCUAUGCAAGGAAGGAAAGAUCAAAGAUGCUAAGAGUGUAUUGGCUGUAAUGUCAAAACAUGGUGUGAAACCAGAUGUGGUUACUUAUACCAGCUUAAUGGAUUGAUAUUGUUUGGUUAAUCAGGUAAAUAAGGCAAAAUAUUUAUUCAACACAAUGGCCGAGAAUAAGCAAAAAUGGAAGACAAUGGUUGCUUACCCAAUGCUGUGACUUAUGAAACAAUCAUUCGUGCUCUAUUUGAAAAUGGUGAAAAUGAUAAAGCGGAGAAACUUCUUCGUGAGAUGAUAUCUAGAGGCCUAUUGCAAGGAUAAAAGUAGAUGAGAUUCUUCUUGUUAGACAUCACAAAAUGUUGCUUGUAUCUCUUUCUUUUUAACUUGUGUUUUGUUACCAUCUUCUCGAUCAACUUUCCAUUCGAUACUAAUGCUUUUAGAUCUUCACAUGAUUGUGAUUCUUUAUUCUGCUUUACCCACACCUAAGUGUUUUCUUUGCCGUAGCUUAUUUUAUGGCAUUUUCGGUGACUAGAUGGCUGUUAUAUGUGGCUUGAAGGAUCUAUCAUUAUUUCCUUUUUUGUUUUUGUAAUUAUAUAUGUGCAUUGGUGUUAAUUUAUUCCUAAGCUGAAACAGUUGUGAUUUUCAUCAUUCAAAGGGAAUCCUUGUUAGUUGUGAAGCUUCCCUGCACUCUUAUUGUCUUUCGAUCUUUUCAUUUCCCCCAUAUUUAAAGUAAACUCCCCCAUAUUUAUUCUCUUUUGGGAAAUGAUUGCUAGAGGCUUAUUGAAUGGUUUAUAGAAGGUAAGAUACAUCAACUCAAAUUAAUAAUUUUUCUAUUAUUGUUGAAAUUAUUACAAAGCUUUAAAUUUUGUGGCAAUUGGAUUGGAGGAUUUGGGAAUUAUCAUGAACUCAAUAGCAGCGGUUUUGGUUAUCUCAUUAUUAUGAAUGAAUUUUGAACUUUUGUUAUUGGAUGACUUUUGAGUCUCUGUUUGUUGCCAUGGCUAUAAUGCAUCCUGUUUUGGUAGAUAUUCUUUGUUGUAACUGAUUUGUUAGUGCUUAACAUUUCUUGAUAGUAACCUAGAGCUCAUGAUUGGUGUUCUGAGCAACUGUGCUUUAUUUGACUGAAUUUCCUAGGAAAAGAUAUGUAGUGCCAAGAGCCUAAGAUUAAUGGCAUAGGUAUAUGAUUUUCGCUGCUAUCUUCAAAACAAAUUCAUCUGCUAAAUGCAUGACCCCACUUUUUUGUUAACCGUUUUUGACGUUUUGAUCUUUUUUACAAUCUGAGCUGAAGAAAUCUGUAUAUUAAAGUAUGUUAUCACACAAUGUGAAUUUGGGUAAUAUGGUUUAAAUAUGAAGUAUCUUAAAACCUUUGGUCAUUUUCAUAGUUAGUGUUACUCAGUUGUGAUUCUUAGAAACUUAACCAACCGAAAAUACGUACAUAUGAAAUAGCUCUUCACAGAGAUUUUCUGUUAAUGCGUAGUUGAACUGUUUCAUUACUUGUUGAAAUCCUAUAUAGGGAUUAUUGUAUUGACAUUGUUUAAACAUGUUGAAAAAGCUUUUAUUAUUAAAACAUGGUUUGGAGUUUUGUUGUUUGUUAAAGAUCUGGUGAUUCUAACUCCAAGUACAAUUGUUUUUACACCUAUUCCUUUGGUUUUUCUAAAUCUUCUUUGCAUUGUGAUGGCUGAGGUUAGAAUAAAGAAUUAAAAGUGAAACAAUGUUGUACAAUUUGAGGUUGCAUUUUUUUAGAAUAUCUUUGAAUGUUAGUACAAUUUCUUUUGGGAUCAAAAGUUGAACUGUGAUAUAGCCUCGUUGCUGAUUAACUUAUUUUAUCAAACUGAUUUUGAACCUGUAUUGGUGGUUGAGUAUUUUGGAUUCUUGACAUGGUUUUCAUCUUUGUUCCACGAGUAAUACCGAUCUACCUUAUUGAUUCCUAGGUACACUGAAGCAUGUUAAGUUGCAGCUUGGGGCAGACAAAAAUUGAACUUCUCCAGUAUGAAUUUUCUUUAUACUUGAAUUUCAAUUUAUCUCCUUCUUAAUAAAUUGAGACACUCAAAUUAAUAUUUUCUUAGCUUAUUUGGUUUCUAGUUGAACCCAUACUCAUUGGAUUUUAAGCUUCAAAAUCAGUUUUAGAUGGAAGUGACUAAUAGUUGCUUUCACAAAAAAUCACUCUUCAGACAGCAUUAAUAAACAUAAAUUAAUUCAAUCUCAAACAAGAUAGAAUAUGUUUGAUGUUGCUAUACACAUUGAGGAAUUAAUCUUAGCAUUAUUAAAUUAGGUUGUUCAUAUACUAUUAUUUUGUGGUGCAUAAAUCAAUUUUUAGACUUGCUUUGAUUAAAAUUUCCUUUUUCACAAAUAAGUACAGGAAAUAUUCAUUUGAUCUUGUGAAGGGUAUAAUCAUGGUUUAUUUUAAUGCUGGUGUCGAAACCAUUGCAGAAGCAAAUCAGCGGUUCUCAAGUGCCACAAACCAGAGACAAUGUAAGCAUGAGAAGGCUCAAUCAUGGAAUAUGUAUCAAUAACUAAGGUAAGACCAAUACAUUGUUGAUGUUGAAAAGUUAUGAACAGCAAUGUAUGGGAAACCAUAUCAAAAGGAUAAAAUGUAGUCAAUUUAAUCUGAUAAAUGCAUAAUUGCAUAAGAAAUUUAAUGUUUGAUUAUUAUUUUUUUCUUACUUUUACUCUUAAACAAAACUCUGUUAAGAAAAAUUGCUGAAAACAAUGUCAUUUCUAUAAUUCUAUGGAAGGUUACAUUACAAGAUAUAUAUAAGGGCUGAUUCAAAUAGCUUUUCACUUUAGACAUUGUUUUUGGAUUCAAGCUUUAACCAGAAUGCAUCAAAAUUGCACACACAGACUAUCAUUGUUCUUUCAAGAACCUCUCAAUUGAACUAUUCUACUAAGUACUAUCAUUGACAUGUUUUGGGAGGAACAGCUCUUUGCAACUGAAUGCUACAAGAGGUAGCAUUUCAGGGCCAAAUCCAAGUUGUCGAGGGGGAUUCUUAUUUGUACAAAUGGCACGUCAAACUUAGAACGAGCACGAAGGAAUUAACAUACUUCUUUAUCUUUUGAGUUGUUUUGCCGGAUCGAUUGCUCAAGACCUUUGGUCUCUAUCCGGACUUGAUGAAAAAAAUGGGAUCACUUCUUAUGAACUUGUUGAAAAUGAUUCUGAUCUAGUUCAUAGCCUAUUAGAAGUAGAAGGCGCUCUAGUGGGAUCCUCACAGACAAAAAAAAGGUUGCAGUUAGUUUGAUAAUGAUCGAGUAACAUUGUUUUUUCGGUCUGAACUAAGGAAUUCCUUAAUAUGAUUUAAAAAAGAUCUUGUUUUAUGUUGAUAAAAGAUUUCUCUAUGAAAAAUAUGAAUCAGAGUUUGCAAAAGGGGAAGAAGUCUUCGACCCGCAACAGAUGGAGGAGGAUUUAUUCAAUCACAUAGUUUGGGCUCAUGGAAUAUGGCACUUUCUUCUUUUCAUGCUCUGCUAUUUCAUUGUCUAAGGAGGCUUUAGCAAUUUUGGUGACGAAAAUGAAUAGAAUGCCUAAGAAGAAUAUAUAAUUGAACGGAUUUUCUAAAUAUUUUCGUUUUUACACUUGAUAAGAUCAUGUUAUCUUGAGUUUUUUUUUCUUUAUAUAUAUAUAUAUAUAUAUAUCUUGUUGAGGAUGCAAAUUAUCUUUUGACUCCAAUGUAUAACUCAGUUAAAAUUAUUCAAUAUCAUUUUGAGCAUUACUAUUGAAUUUAGAAUAGGAAAACAAAAUUUGAUAGAUUUUUUUUAACGUCUCUUAUUUCUUAAAAAAUAUUACUAUUUGUUAUGUCAAUUAAAGUAAUUAAAAUAAAUAAAUACAAAGGUCGAACAAUUGUGCAAGGAAGAAAUUGUUGAUGGGAUCACUUCUUAUGAACUCGUUGAGAAUGAUUCUGAUCUAGUUCAUGGCCUAUUAGAAGUAGAAGGCGCUCUAGUGGGAUCCUCACAGACAAAAAAAAAAUGUUGCAGUUAGUUUGAUAAUGAUCGAGUGACAUUGUUUUUUCGGUCUGAACCAAGGAAUUUCUUAAUAUGAUUUAAAAAAGAUCUUGUUUUAUGUUGAUAAGAGAUUUCUCUAUGAAAAAUAUGAAUCGGAGUUUGCAAAAGGGGAAGGAGUCUUCGACCCGCAACAGAUGGAGGAGGAUUUAUUCAAUCACAUAGUUUGGGCUCAUGGAAUAUGGCGCUUUCUUCUUUUCAUGCUCUGCUAUUUCAUUGUCUAAGGAGGCUUUAGCAAUUUUGGUGACGAAAAUGAAUAGAAUGCCUAAGAAGAAUAAUUGUUAUUAUUAAAUCUCCAAAAGAAGGAGAACGGAUUUUCUAAAUAUUUUCGUUUUUACACUUGAUAAGAUCAUGUUAUCUUGAGCUUUUUUUUCUUUAUAUAUAUAUAUCUUGUUGAGGAUGCAAAUUAUCUUUUGACUCCAAUGUAUAACUCAGUUAAAAUUAUUCAAUAUCAUUUUGAGCAUUACUAUUGAAUUUAGAAUAAGAAAACAAAAUUUGAUAGAUUUUUUUUAACGUCUCUUAUUUCUUAAAAAAUAUUACUAUUUGUUAUGUUAAUUAAAGUAAUUAAAAUAAAUAAAUACAAAGGUCGAAUAAUUGUGCAAGGAAGAAAUUGUUGAAAUAAAUAAAUAAGAGAUAUAUGAUAUAAACUCUUGUCUAAUUCUUGUAUUCUUGUCGAAUGAUGAAUUAUUAAUUGUCAAUUAUUUAUUUUCUUACCAUUUUCUAUUGGCAAUUUCAGAAAAGAGUUAAAAAAAAGAAAGAAAGAAGAAACUUGUUAGGGGUUCACAAUUUUCUUUUAUAUUUCAUGAUAAUGGAACAAUUCUUAAUAAUCAACGUGUAUUUUUUUGUUUUGUUUUGUUAAUUAUAAAAUAAUUUAAAUGCUUAAUUAAUUAAUAACAGCCAUAUUCUAUAUGGUGUUAGGAGUGCUUGGUAACGAAUUGUUAGUCGACAUACAUAGAAUACUCAAGAGAAGAAGAAUUGAGUAUUAACCAUUUCAACAAUUUUUUUUAUUUUGCAAUACUUUAAAAACUUUUAAUAAUAUAGAAUUAAAUUGAAUUCUAUCAAUAAUUGAAUUUCAGCUAAAAUUAAAUUGAAUUUUAAUAUUUAUAAUAAAUUAACAAAAUUAUAAAAUUGAAUUGAAUUCCAAUAUUUAGAAUAUUUAUGUGAAAAUUGGAACUGUGAAAGGUUGAGAGACAGAAAGCGAGAAGAAAGAGAAGCAAAAAAAGUGGUAAAAUGAUUCAGAUUUCUUGUUGAAAGAGAAUAAAAAAUUACAAAGGUAAAAUUCGGUAUAGCUGCACUAUAUAUACAACAGCAUGUGGACUAACCAACUGUAGUUAAGUUAAAACCAACUAACUAACUAAGGUAAGUUAACAGUUAGUAAUCUCUAAUUAACUAGCUUUACUAUAAUUAGCAUAUGGUAUAGUAACGAUCUAUAUCAACUAACAUCCCCCUCAAACUAGGAGGGUAAACAUCUAACAAUCCUAGUUUGCGAUAACAUGAAUAGAAAGGUCCUGGAGCAAGUGUUUUGUUGAGCAAAUCUGUUGUUUGGUUAGCAGAUGUGACAGGGAAGCUUCAAGAUCCCCUCAUUGGCCAUGUCUCGCACAAUGUGGCAGUCAGCCUCUAUGUGCUUCGUCCUCUCAUGCAGAACUGGAUUAGCAGCCAUGUGAAAUGCGGAUUGGCUAUUGCUAUAGAGGGUGAAUGGCUGCGCAUGAUCAAUGCCAAGAGUUCUUAAUAACUGAAGAAGCCACAGACCUUCACACGUCGCAUUUGCCAAUGCUCGGUAUUCCGCCUCUGAAGAUGAUCGAGACACAGUUUGCUGCUUGCUGCUCUUCCAAGAGAUUAAGGUGGUCCCUAGGAAGAAACAGUAGCCAGAAACAGAUCUCCUUGUGUCUAGACAAGUUGCCCAGUCAGCGCUCGCAAACCCAGUGAGGCUGAAAUCAGUGCUGAGAGGGAAGAAGAGACUUGCAAUAGGGGGCUUCUUGAGGUAGCGAAGUAUCCGCAGAGCAGCUUUAUAGUAUUUAGUCAUUGGGGACUCUAGGUACUAGUUGAGUUUACCCACGGCAAAUGCAAUAUCUGGCCUUGUUGUUAGUCAAAUACUGUAGUUUAUCAAUGAGGCGAUGAUAGAGCUUUGAAUCAUUUAUAGGGUCUCCAGAGGCCUUUGAUAGAUGAGUGGAAUAAUUUAUCGGUGUGUAUACGGGUUUGGCUUCAAUCAACCCAAAUUCCUCUAUCAAAUCUGUAGUGUAUUUCUUUUACAACAAAGCAAGCCCCUUAGUGUUGUAUGCAACUUCCAUGCCAAGAAAAUAUUUGAGUUUUCCCAGGUCCUUGAUGCUGAAGUGGGUAUCCAGUAGCUGUUUGAUCCGGGUAAUUUCUUGAAUGUCGUCGCCUGCCAAAACCAAGUCAUCAACAUAGGCUAUAAUGGCUAUGAAAUUAGAUGGAGUUUGCCGAGUGAAGAGUGAAUAGUCUGACUUGGAUUGUACGUAUCUAGCUUCAGAUAAGACUGAGACAAGCUUAGUAUUCCACUGGCGACUAGCUUGUUUUAGUCCAUAAAGUGACUUGUUAAGCUUGCAAACUGAUCCAGCAGGGGCUUCAAGACCAUCAAGGACCUUCAUGUAUACCUCUUCCGGCAAAUCCCCAUGAAGAAACGCCGUAUUGACAUCUAAUUGGUGUAGAUACCACAGCUUGGGGACUGCGAUAGAAAGUAAAACACAUAGUGUUGCCAUGCAAACCACCGGACUGAAGGUGUCAAAAUAAUCGAAUCCCUCUUUUUUAUUAAAACCUUUAGCCACCAGCCUGGCCUUAUGCCUUUCAACAGUCCCAUCAGCGUUGAAUUUCACCUUAAAAACCCAUUUAGAUCCAAUUGCAUUCUUCCCAGGAGGCAGUUUGGUAAGCACCCAUGUCUUGUUAUUUUCAAGAGCAAGAAGUUCAGCAUUUAUUGCAUUCUUCCAACAAAGAUGUUGAAUUGCUUCAUUCUAUGAUUUUGGUUCUGAAAUGGUGGACACAGCUAAAGAAAAAGCUCUGUAAUUCGGUGAAAGUUACUGGUAAGUGAUAUAUUUGGAAAGAGGGUACCUGGUGAUUGAAUGUGUCCUGAUGAUGGUAACAAUGCACAUUGAUAGUCAUCCAAAUAGACUGGUGGUUUUCUAAUUCUGUUCGGUCUUUGGACAGCAGUGGGGUGAAUAAUUUGUGGAGGUGAUGAGUGAUGUGAAUGUAGUGGUGGUAAUGGUGUAUGCUGGGAUGAAUGCGAUUCCUGGUUUUCAAUUGGUGGAUGAAGGGGUGUCAAUAUAUGAUUUUUUGACUCGACAGAUUGUGAUUGUUGUCCUGGGCUAGUGCGAAAUUGUGUGUGCUAAAAAAUUUAAUUCGAAUGGUUUUUAUGCUCGUCAUAUAUGGGAGAAAACAAGUUUGUGUUAUCUAUAUGCUGACUAUGUGCAUGCACAUGACCUUGAGGUGUAGAAUCUGAAUUCUUUUCAAAAGAAAACACUUUCUCGUAGAAUUGAACAUUUCUAGAUAGAAACAGUUCUCUUGAAUUAAUGUCAUACAAGAUAAAACCUUUAGUGUGUAACUUAUAGCCUAAGAACACACACUUCCUUGCCCGUUUGUCUAACUUCUUUCUAUGUGCGGUGAGGGUGGUAGCAUAAGCCAAGCAACAAAAAACUUUCAAACUCGGUAAAUCUGGUUUUUCAAAAAAAAUAGUUCAUAAGGUGCUAUGUCCUUUAAAGCGAUGCUUGGUAACCUAUUUACGAGAAAGGCGGCAUGGCUAACAGCAUAAGUCCAAAAGGAUUUCGGAAUUGAAGAGUGAAAUAAAAGUGCUCUAGCCAUGCCCAAUAGGUGUUGGUGCUUUCUCUCUACCACACCAUUUGUUGUGGUGUUUUGACACAGGAUGUUUGAUGAAUGAUGCAUUUUUCUUUAAAAAAUGAAAUCAAAUUAAAUUGGGUCCAUUAUUGGACCUGAAACACUUGACAAUUUUUCCAAACUGUUUCUCAAUGUGUGUUACAAAAUUCUUUACUAGGAUUGGUACUUCAGACUUAAUUUGAAAAAAUGAACCCAGGUGAACCUGGUUUUGUCAUCAACGAUUGUUAAAAAAUAUCGAUGUCCAUUAAUUGAAGGGAUGGCUAAGGGCCCCCAUAUGUCUAGAUGUACCAAAUCAAAAGCUUUAGAAGAUUGUGUAAUGUUUCUUGUAAAAGAUAAUUUCUUUUGUUUGCCAAAAUGGCAAGGAUCACAAGGUUCAACAUAACCUGUGCAUUCUAUGAAGGAAAAAUCAAUCUUUAUUACAAUAGAUCUACUUUCAAGGACAUGCCCCAAUCUUAAAUGCCAUAAUUUGGCAUUAUUUUCUAUGCUAUAUUUUCAAAACAUGUGAGUGUGGUGUGUAGAAUGUUGUGCAGCUUUUGUUGUGCGUGGUGAUUGAAGAGAGAUUUGUGGUGCAGUUUUAGAAAUCUCUGAUGUGUAGGGUAUUGAUGCAGAUAUGGUGGUAGUUUGUGAGCAUAAUGGGCUGACUCUCAAUGUGUAAAGUCCAUUUGAUUCCUUAGCACACUCAAUCAUCUUCGAAGUAUUCCUGUCCUGUAUCUCACAGCACAUGUCAGUCAUAAAAAAGUGGUAAUUUAAUUGUUUUGUAGCCUUAGAUACUGACAGUAGAUUAAAGGUAAAAGACGGUAUAUACAACACUUCAGUGAGAUACGGGUUAUUUGAACAAACCACUAUUCCAACUAUUUUUGUCAAGGUUUGGCUUCCAUCAAGCAAUUUCACAAGAAUGGGAUCAAUGUAGUGAUAGCUAAAAAAAUUUGAGGAAAAAGGACACAUGGUCAGUUACACCACUAUCUAUUAUCCAUGAAUUUGAAAAAAAAAAUAUUUUAUGAAUAAGAUGUGUGAAAUAUAUGAACUCAUGUGCAGAAUAUAAAUUGGUAUACCUGUGUGGUUCUGUAUAGGCUGGUUUUGCUGAGCAAUGUUAUUUUGGUUAUUCCCUUGUUGAAGUAAUGCAAUUAAUGUUUCUCUUUGUUCUUGAGAUAUCAUGAGAUGAGAAUUCUCAUCGUCUUCCUUUUGAGUCAAAUCCAAUUGACUGCCACUGACUUUUCCAAUUUCAUUGCCAAGUGCUGUGAUUGUGCAAUUCAUGGUUCUGUAUGGUUGCUGUCUCGUGUGAGGGGGUAACCCAUGCUUCUUGUAACAGGUAUCUACCAAAUGCCCUAUCUUAUUUUAGUAAGAGCAUAUUUUAGGUGGUCCUCUACCUUUUCAACCUCUGUUUGACCUUUCUCUUUCUCGAAAAUUACCGUUUGGAGGAGGGUGUUGGUGUCUUGCACUUUCAAAUCGAAUCAGCUGAGCUCAUGAGAAUUCGAGAUUCACUCACAUCAGGGGAGUGCAAUUGUCUCUCUUGCUUGUUUCUUCUAUAUUUUCUAACCACGCCUAAUCCACACAUACACUCAGCUCCACAAUAGCAUUGAGGGAUCGAUUCCAGAUAGUCCAGUUCCUACCAUAGGGCUCUCAAUUUUGUGCAAUACGCAGUUAGGCUUAGGUCACCCUAAUUCUCACUAUAUAUUUUUCUUCCAAUUCAGCUACCCUAAAGACAUCUCCAUGGUGGUAUGUGUGUUUAAGGUCAUUCCACAUGUCACAAGCAUUCUCAUUCCAGAUUACACUUUGGAAAAUUUCACUAGUGAGUGAGAAAUUUAUCCAAGCAACGAUGUAUGUGUUACACUUCUCCCACCCCAAAAAAUUCUUGUCAUUCUCAUCAGGUUUAGGUAAUGAGCCAUCAAUAAGUUGCAACUUAUUCUUUUAUUUAAGGGCUAAUCACAUUGCACGAGCCCAAGAAUGGUAGUUAGAUGCAUUUAGUGUCACAUUCACAAUGGAGAUUCCAGGGUUCUCUUCUGGAUGCAUGUAAUAGGAAUUGUGUGUGUCAUAGUUUCAAUUCGGGCCAAUUCUAUGGUGCCUAUGACUUGGUGCCUAAAUUUUGCCUAACUUUCUUUUUGUAGUAAGCUUUAAAUUUUUAAAAAUUAUUUUUAUAUCUUUUAAAUUAGAAAAAACAACCAUUUGUACCCAUGAACUUUACGAACGCUGACAAAAGUAGCCAUUACAGAAGAAAACUAAUGUUGUAUCCAUCAAAGAUGGAUUCCGUACAACAAAAGUAGCCAAAUCCUAAAUUUAUGUUGACUUUUUAAUAAAAUUCCAGAAUUACCCCCAUCAUUAUCUUCAACCCCUCCUCUCUUCUUUCCUAAAUCUCAAAUACCUUCAUUGCCUAAAAACCCUAAUCUCAAUACCUAAAAACCCCAAAUUAUCAUUUUCCUAACCCUAAUCUCAAUACCCCUUUCAACAAAUUUCAACCCUCUCUUUAUUCUUUUCAUCAAUUUUACCACCUCCUUCACCAACACGUGUUGAUGGUGUAUUGAGUUUGUGCUUCCACCACUGUCGCCGGCGGAGCCUUCUCCUCCUCCUGCUGUAACUUCCGGCUGAGAGCAGUUUUGGAAGAGGUAGUCUCCCGAUGAGUUGGCACCGUAUUCAUGAUGAUGAUCGGCGAAGGAGUGUCCACCGAGUAAGUUCUCCAGCUUGGGUUGUUGGUGAUAGUGGUGGUGGUUGUUGUCGACAUUGUUAUUGUUGUUGCAUGAAGUUUCCAAUAGCAGGUUUUGGUUGAUGUAGUUAUUCUCCUUCCAAUCUAUGAUGAUAAAGAAAAAUUAAAAAAAAAGAGUAAUUUGUAAUAAUAAUAGAAAAAUUAAAAGAGAAAAGAAAUUAUUAAACCUUGAUGAGUAGAAAGGUGAUGAUGAUUGUUGAAGGGUUCUUGAUAGAUGGAAAAAGGAGGGAGGUUGAGAGUAGUAGCGGCAUGAGUGGAAGGAGUGAGAUCAAAGCAGUUUCCAUCAUCAGCAGCAGUUACAUCAUCUUGUGCAGUGGGAUUGAAUAGCCCAAAACGAGUUUGAUGAUGAUGAGUAGUAGUAGUAGUGUGUUGUUCUUGAGGAGAGAGAGAGAAACCCAGCAAGUUCAUUGAAUCCAUAGAAGAAGAAGAAGAAAAAAGGUUAAAUUGCUGAAUAAAGAGAGGGUUGAAAUUUGUUGAGAGGGGUAUUGAGAUUAAGGUUAGGAAAAUGAUAAUUCGGGGUUUUUAGGUAUUGAGAUUAGGAUUUUUAGGUAAUGGAGGUGUUUGAGAUUUGGGAAAGAAGAGAGGAAGGGUUGAAGAUAAUGGUGGGGGUAAUUCUGGAAUUUUAUUAAAAAGUCAACAUAAAUUUAGGAUUUGGGUACUUUUGUCGUACGGAAUCCAUCUUUGAUGGAUACAACGUUAGUUUCCUUCUUUAAUGGGUACUUUUGUCAGCAUUCGUAAAAUUCAUGGGUACAAAUGGUUGUUUUUUCUUUAAAUUAAAUAUUGAUUUUUAACUCUUUUAAGUAAAUAGGCACUACAUUUUAGGCACCAUGAUAUUCACCUUCAAUUCGAACUUACAGUGACGAAUGGUGGAUUCUAGUUCAUCUUGUUUUGCAGGUGUAGGUUUUCAAAUCUUGAAAGUUGGUUCAGAAGUUUCGUGAGAUAUUGAAUGUCGCUUGGAAAAUACUCGUCCUCCGCCGCUUCGAAUGGAUCUUCUAUUCACUCCUCAUUCGCCAUGGAUGGGCCGAAUCGGGAGCUUUCAACAACAACCUAUUCUUCCUCUUGAGCUUCAAUCGAUUCCUCUCACUGAUGUGAACCUUCCAUGCUCACCGCACCAUGUGAAAAUUAGAAUUGUGGAAGGUUUAGAGACAGAAAGAGAGAAAGAAGAGAAGCAGAGAAAUUGGUUAAAUAAUUCAGAUUUCUUGUUGAAAGAGAAUGGAAAAUCACAAAGGUAAAGUUCGGUAUAGCUGCACUAUAUAUACAACAACAUGUGGACUAACCAACUCUAGUUAAGCUAAAGCCAUAUUAAAUUAUAUGAAAUAAUUAAAAAAUUAUAUUUUUUAACUAUUUUUUUCAACUAAAAUUUGUUCACCUCUUUUAAAAAAAUAAAAAUUAGAUUAAUCUAAAAAUAUUAAAUUUAAAAAACAUUAUUAUUAAUUAAAAAAUUAAAUAGUUCUUUAAUGCAUGAACAUCUUUUUUUAUUUUUUAUUUAUUUUAGAGGUGAAAUUAUUGAGUUUUAAUUAGAUUUUAGUGUUUGAAGCCUCUUUAGAUGCUACUUUGAAUUGCUUUGGUGUUUUAAUUAUUUCAGAUGAAGUUUGGAUCGGUUUGGUAGAGUGCGUGUACAAAAAAAGAGAAGAGUUUGGAAUCAACCAAGCUGACACUAAACGCGGACCUGGGCGUUUAGCGCCAGAAGCCUUGUAAUACGUGCCAAGCCUCAGCCACCAGGGGUGCUAAACGCUAAGCCUGGCGUUUAGUGCCAGCAAGCCAGAAACGAUUGAAAGCUCUCUACCACUAGCGGUGCUAAACGCAACUUAGCACCAAGGAGUCAAAAUCGAAAUGGGAGUUUCUACCACCUGGGGCACUAAACACCGAAUCUGGCAUUUAGCGCCAAUGAUGCGGAUCAAUCUUCACCAAAUGAGUAUCUUUAGUUGGAUUUGACUUUUAAUUAUUGUAUUUUAUUUUGUUUUAAUUAUUUUUAUUUACAAAUAAAAUCUUUUAGGUUUAGAAUUUAUUAUUUUAUUUUAGUUUCAAAUCAAAUUAGGUCAGAUAUAAAAGGAAAAAUAUUUAGCCCUUCGGGGAUCUUUUCUCUUACGCACUUCAUUCCAUAGUUUACACUUUUUAGAACCCUAGUUUUCUCUUUGAGUCAUGAGUAACUAAACCUCCUUGGUUAAGGUUAGGAGCUUUGUUUAUUAUAUGGAUUAAUACUAUUGCCUCUCUGUUUUAAUUAAUGCAUUGAUUUCAAUUUCAAGGAUUUGCUUUCGUUCUUCAUCCUAGGAAUUAGGGUAUAUUGGAAGAUAACCCUUUUUCUAAUUGAGUUCUUGUUAAAUCUUGGAAAAGUAAUUUACUUGGACAAAAGCUUGAAAGUAAUUCCUCCUAAACACUAAUUGCUUGGACUUAACGAGAUACGUGACAUAUAAUCCUCUCAUAUUUGGGUAAUUAGGUUUUUGUGGCUAAUAGACUAGAAUCGGACUUAAACCUUUAAUCGAAAUUAAGUGACCAAGGGAUUGACGGCUGACUAGGUUAGAGGAGACUAAAUCAUUGAGAAAUUAGGUUUAGUCAAUCACAGUUUGCCAUAAAUUGAAUCUUGCAUGAUUAAAAUAGUUGGUAAGAAAUAGAAAUCCAUAAAAUAAACAACGCUAAAGCCUUAACUGUUUUCUCACAUAUCUUUUCACACCAAUUUUACUAUUUGCUUUCUAAAUCACUGUUUGAUACUUUUGAACUCCAAAACAUCAUUUUCUGCUUGUCUGACUAAGUGAAUCACUCAAUCAUUGUUGCUUGGUCCAUCAAUUCUCGUGGGAUCAACCCUCACUCACCUAAGGUAUUACUUGGUAUGACCCAGUGUACUUGCCGAUUAGUUUGUGGACUUUAAAUUCCACAUCAUUCUUCAUGUUUGAUUCCCACGAUAAACCAACAACAGAAAAUAAACAUGAACUACCAAAACAUAACUUGUUGAGUGGUCUAAGGACAUAACAAGUAAAACAAAACUAGUUAUUAACGGCAGAUUAUAGCAACUAAUCUAUGUUAUUAAAAUGGAAUAAAAUUAUGCCACUUUUUGCUGGUGUCAUAAUUAACACAACUUCACUUGAAAUUUUCAGACGUAUUGACAAAUACUUGGUGUCAUUAAUCUAAGUUAAACACAUAAAAUCUAUGUGUGUGGAUAAUUUUUUUAGAUCUACAUACUAGACCUUUCAAAAUAGGUAUAUAUUAUAUUAAGUGACUUGAAGGAAAGGGAAGGGAAGGAAAGAGAAUGAAGGUGGUAAGAGAAGAGAGAGUGUGUUGGAAGGUGGGAGGCAUUGAAAGAAUGUGAGUGACGAAAGUUAAGAAGAAGUAAUUAAAUUAUAAAGAUAUUUUAGACAUUUUAAAUUUUAAGUAAAAUCCCAAUGGAAUGGAAUUCCAAAUCAGACCUAUUUGGGUCAGAAUUGAUUUUGAGAGAAAAUAACGGAAUUGAAUUAAAUUCUAUCUAAAUUAAUUUAAUUAUUUUUGUUUCAAAUACUGGAAUUGAAUUCAAUUUCUACCAAGAGAUUUCCAAACACCUUGAAAGAAAGACAAAUAGAGCAAAUCAAAUAUAAUACAGUUAAAUAAAAGAUAAGGAUAGAGUUUGUAAAUGAUGGAUUUUAUUCUAGUUGGACUACUCCAUUUGUAUAUGUUACGUCUAAUUCUUCUCAUAGUCAUGAUGGAGAUUUAUCCGCCAUAAUUUCAAAUUUGAAAUGCGUGCUUAGAAAAUCACUACAAUUUAGAUUAUUUUGGCUGCGUUUGUUUUGUGGAUAGGAUAAAACAUGAUAUUGAGACAGAAACAAUAGAAUAGAGAUACUAAAAAUUAUUUUCUAUGUAUUGUAUUCGGAUAUAAUGUAUAAUACACUAAUAUAAUGUCCAAUCUUAUGUUUGGAUACACAUGGACAAGACUAAAACAUUAUGCAAAAUCACUAAAAUAAACAUUUCUUUCAUACCCUCCUUUCCUUCUCUCUGUCUCUUACUCCUUUCUUGACGCCUAACCCUUCCCUUUGCUAAAAGACGGUGGAGGAAUGAUACCUGCUAUACUUGCUAAACUCUGCUUUUGCCAAUUCAAAAUUUUCUGGGUACAAUUUACUUACGUAAUUUUUUGAAUUUUUUAUUUUUUUCCAUCUAAAAUUUUUAUUGUGUAAAUUGGAAGAUUCAAUAAGUGUUGGAUUUGAUCUUUUUACCCCAAUUAAAAGAAGAAGAAGAACAUAAUGAAAGAAGAUGAACACAGAGAUAGAGAAAGAGCAAGAAAAUGAGAGUGCCUCUCUGUAUUCUCUGAGUACCUCUCUGUAUUCUCUGAGAACCUCUUUAAGAAUGACGAUACAGAGAAGAAGCUUAAAUUAGGGUUUUUGAAAAAAGGGGGGUAAUUAUCUAUGGGUAAAAAGAAAAAAAAUUUUCAUUAAAGAUCCAUGUCCACCCUCUCAAAUUUCGUGUCCAUCAUUAUCAUUCUUUUAAAACUGCACACAAAAUAAAGAAAACAAUCCUGGAGACACUGUGUCCAGUAUCCAUGUCUCUUUAUCCAAACACUUUUUAGAUAUUUACUGUCCAUCUCUGUGUGUCAUAUCUACAAGAACAAACGCAGCCUUUGAUACACCUAACAUAAUUUUUCACCUUUUUUUUUGGUGUCUAAACAACAAAGAAAAAUACAAAGCAAAACACCUAUCCUAAAUUAGACAUAAUGAUUUGCUAGAGAGCUUCUCAAAGGCCCAGACCAAAUAACAUUAUUGAAAUUAUUUCUAGCUCCACAUCUAGCCAUUUCAUCUGCAACUUUAUUUGCUUUCCUACAUAUCCAAUCAAAUUGCAUGUACCAGGAUCUUGAUAACAGCUCAUGAAUAUUGUUAACUAAAUCAACAACUUCAGAUUUACACCCACUAGGAGAGUCAUACAAAAGAUGAAGAAUGUCCAGACAAUACAUUUCACACACUAUGUCUCUUAAUCCGCAAUCCCAAGCUAAAACAAGGUCCCUCCAAACUGCAAAAGUCUAAUAUUGGAUUAUAGACCAGAGAGGAGAGCUACCAGAACAACCUGCAAUCCAACCCCAUUAGAAUUUCUAACAAGAUAAUCAAAUUCAGCCAAGCUCAAAUCAGUAAACAAACUAGCAUCACAAUUAACUUUAAAGCUAUUACCUACAUGAGAUUUUCAGGACAAAUGGUUCCUGAAGGUACUAAAAGAAGUAUACCUGUUCAUAUAUAACCUUAGAUCCAUGACCGUACUACUGAUGAGAGCAACCACCUUGUGAUCUGUCCAAUAAUUUUUAGCAUAGAAAAUGUCAUUGUACCUAUGCCUCUACAACCACCACACUCCGACGCCUAAAAGAGCCUCCUUACCAGAUAUGACCUUUCGAAACCAAGCUUCCAUAAAGAAGCCUUCAACCAAAUCAAUAACUCGAGGAUUUAGCAUCUGCCAAAUAACUCUGGAAUAUACACAAUUUCUAAGGCAAUGUUCUAUUGUCUCCAAAGCCACAUUGCAUCUCUGGCACAUAACCGAACUAGCUAGAUGCCGCCUGAAGCAGAAAACUUUCGUCGAAAAAGUGUUAUGAACCCUAAACCAAACAGUCAAUUUGAUCUUUUCCAGAAGAUUCAAGUGCCAAAGCUAGUUUCAGUUGCUAUUUUCAUUCCAAUUUAAUUUAUUCUUUAACAACCAACGAUAACCCUCUUUUGCACUAUACCCUUUUGUCCCUGUAGGCCACCAACUCCACCCUGGUUCCAUGUCAGCCAAUGUCAGAUAGUACAGGUAGUGAAUAAAAUGCUUGACCUCAAGAGGAAUUGUUAAUGCAAGUCUCUCCACCUCCUAAGAUCCAUCAUGCCACAAAUCUACCACUACAAAAUUGGACUCAGAUAUGUGAACAUAAGGAACAAUAUCACAAAGCCUUCCAAAAAGAGUCCACUCAUCAUACCACACAUAUUGCUGCACAUCCCCAACAUUCCAUUUGAACCAUUCUUGAGAGUAUCAAAUGUUUUGAGAAUGUUCUUCCAAAUGGCUAAAGCGUUCUGACUAUUGUUGUUGCUAAGAAAAGUUGAAUUCUGGAAAUAUUUAUGCAUCAUAACCUAAACCCACAACUUGUCUCUAUUAUUAAAGCAAUCACAAACCAAUUUGUCGAGAAGCGCCAUGUUAGUUGAGUAGGUAUUCCUAACACUCAAACCACCCGUCCUUUUAGGAGUUAUAGCAACAUCCCACUUAAGCAACGACAACCCUCUCCCAUUAGUUUGGCCGCUCCAUAAAAAUUGUCUCAUCAAAGAAUCUAUCUUUUCACAAGCAUACUUCGAAAGAAGAGCAAUUUGCAUGUUGUAAUCCGGAAUAGAAGCCAUUACCGAUUUAACCAAAUGAAGUCUUCCUGCCUUAUUCAGCAAACCCCCCUUCCAACUAGCAAGCUUCUUCUGAAUCUUUUCAAUAAUAUCCUAAGCCAUCCUCCUAGAAGACCUUUCAUGCCCAAUAUUCAUCCCUAGAUAUCUUCCCAAGUCCUGACAAAAGCGGAUAGUAGAAACUCCCGAGAGCACUUCUUUUCUUCUCUCAGAGAUAUUCUUUGAGCAUACUAAGGUUCACCUUCAAUCUUGAUGCUUUGGAAAAUAACUCCAUAGUCUGCAUAACCUCCCCUACCUGAACUUUUGUAGCUUUACAAAAAAGCAGGAGAUCGUCAGCAAACAUCAAAUGAGAGAUUUUAGAGCCAUAUUUGGAGACCAACACAGGUAUCCACAACCCUUGAAAAAUCUGAUGAGUAGUAAAACAAUCAAGAGCCUCCAUAAAAAGCACAAAAAGAUAUGGGGACAUGGGAUCCCCUCGCCUCAAACCCCUCUUUGGGUUGAAAUUCUGAAAUCUCUCACUAUUUCACAAGAUAGCCAAGAAAGAUGACAUCACAUAGGCCAUAAUAAGAUUAAUAGUAGCUCUCAAGAAACCAAAUUUGACCAACGAAGCUUCAAGGAAUCUCCAAUCCACCAUGUCAUAAGCUUUUUCUAAAUCAAUCUUGGAAGUCAUAGUCCCCUUUUUAGACUUAAUAUUCCUCAUGAAAUGCAUAAUUUCCUGUGCAACAAUGAUAUUCUCUGUAGUUCCUCUUUCCAGAAUAAAAUCACCCUGGAGUGGGCCGAUAAUUUCCAAAAAAAAUGGUCAGACCUUGUUCACCAGCACUUUUGAAAUAAUUUUGUAAAGAACAUUACAUAAACUAAUGGGACGAAAAUAUCUUAACGAAGAAGGAGCUUUCACUUUAGGAAUCACAACAAUGAAGGUCUCAAAAAUAGUAGAAUUUAUAAUCUUGCUCUCAAAAGCUCCCUUGACUAACCCCCACACAUCGUAACUGAGUCCCAAAAUAUUUUAUAAAACAGAGCUUGAAAACCAUUCGGCCCAAGAGCUUUGAAAGAAUUCAUGGUCAUUACAACUCUUUUCACCUCUUCUAAUGCCACUGGUUUAACAAAUCUUUGACAGGCCUCAUUGCUAAGAGAGGGACAGGAGAAAUCUUCCAUAGCAUUGAGGUCAAUAUUCUCCCUUGUAGAAAAUAAUUUUUGAAAGAAAGAAUUUGUUUCCUGCUCAAGCACCUGCGUCUCAGUGGCCCAGGUUCCAUCAUCUAACAACAACUCAUGGAUCUUAUUUCUCUUUCGCCUAAUAACCGUCUGCAGGUGAAAAAACUUAGUAUUCCUGUCACCACAUCAAACUCACUGCUCUCUAGAUUUUUGGUACCACAAAGUUCUUCCUGAAGAAAAAUAGAAUUUAGCUCCUCUUGAAUACCUUGCUCUUUCACCCUCAACUCCGGAUCUUUUCCACUCUCAAGAGAAAUAUGAACAUCAUUCGGUUAAAAAAAUUCAAUUUAAAGAUUUAAUUUUUUUGAAAAUGUAGAUUCUACGAAUUUAAAACAAUCCAAACUUUAAAUGUCAAUAUAAGCACUAGAUAUACCNNNNNNNNNNNNNNNNNNNNNNNNNNNNNNNNNNNNNNNNNNNNNNNNNNNNNNNNNNNNNNNNNNNNNNNNNNNNNNNNNNNNNNNNNNNNNNNNNNNNNNNNNNNNNNNNNNNNNNNNNNNNNNNNNNNNNNNNNNNNNNNNNNNNNNNNNNNNNNNNNNNNNNNNNNNNNNNNNNNNNNNNNNNNNNNNNNNNNNNNNNNNNNNNNNNNNNNNNNNNNNNNNNNNNNNNNNNNNNNNNNNNNNNNNNNNNNNNNNNNNNNNNNNNNNNNNNNNNNNNNNNNNNNNNNNNNNNNNNNNNNNNNNNNNNNNNNNNNNNNNNNNNNNNNNNNNNNNNNNNNNNNNNNNNNNNNNNNNNNNNNNNNNNNNNNNNNNNNNNNNNNNNNNNNNNNNNNNNNNNNNNNNNNNNNNNNNNNNNNNNNNNNNNNNNNNNNNNNNNNNNNNNNNNNNNNNNNNNNNNNNNNNNNNNNNNNNNNNNNNNNNNNNNNNNNNNNNNNNNNNNNNNNNNNNNNNNNNNNNNNNNNNNNNNNNNNNNNNNNNNNNNNNNNNNNNNNNNNNNNNNNNNNNNNNNNNNNNNNNNNNNNNNNNNNNNNNNNNNNNNNNNNNNNNNNNNNNNNNNNNNNNNNNNNNNNNNNNNNNNNNNNNNNNNNNNNNNNNNNNNNNNNNNNNNNNNNNNNNNNNNNNNNNNNNNNNNNNNNNNNNNNNNNNNNNNNNNNNNNNNNNNNNNNNNNNNNNNNNNNNNNNNNNNNNNNNNNNNNNNNNNNNNNNNNNNNNNNNNNNNNNNNNNNNNNNNNNNNNNNNNNNNNNNNNNNNNNNNNNNNNNNNNNNNNNNNNNNNNNNNNNNNNNNNNNNNNNNNNNNNNNNNNNNNNNNNNNNNNNNNNNNNNNNNNNNNNNNNNNNNNNNNNNNNNNNNNNNNNNNNNNNNNNNNNNNNNNNNNNNNNNNNNNNNNNNNNNNNNNNNNNNNNNNNNNNNNNNNNNNNNNNNNNNNNNNNNNNNNNNNNNNNNNNNNNNNNNNNNNNNNNNNNNNNNNNNNNNNNNNNNNNNNNNNNNNNNNNNNNNNNNNNNNNNNNNNNNNNNNNNNNNNNNNNNNNNNNNNNNNNNNNNNNNNNNNNNNNNNNNNNNNNNNNNNNNNNNNNNNNNNNNNNNNNNNNNNNNNNNNNNNNNNNNNNNNNNNNNNNNNNNNNNNNNNNNNNNNNNNNNNNNNNNNNNNNNNNNNNNNNNNNNNNNNNNNNNNNNNNNNNNNNNNNNNNNNNNNNNNNNNNNNNNNNNNNNNNNNNNNNNNNNNNNNNNNNNNNNNNNNNNNNNNNNNNNNNNNNNNNNNNNNNNNNNNNNNNNNNNNNNNNNNNNNNNNNNNNNNNNNNNNNNNNNNNNNNNNNNNNNNNNNNNNNNNNNNNNNNNNNNNNNNNNNNNNNNNNNNNNNNNNNNNNNNNNNNNNNNNNNNNNNNNNNNNNNNNNNNNNNNNNNNNNNNNNNNNNNNNNNNNNNNNNNNNNNNNNNNNNNNNNNNNNNNNNNNNNNNNNNNNNNNNNNNNNNNNNNNNNNNNNNNNNNNNNNNNNNNNNNNNNNNNNNNNNNNNNNNNNNNNNNNNNNNNNNNNNNNNNNNNNNNNNNNNNNNNNNNNNNNNNNNNNNNNNNNNNNNNNNNNNNNNNNNNNNNNNNNNNNNNNNNNNNNNNNNNNNNNNNNNNNNNNNNNNNNNNNNNNNNNNNNNNNNNNNNNNNNNNNNNNNNNNNNNNNNNNNNNNNNNNNNNNNNNNNNNNNNNNNNNNNNNNNNNNNNNNNNNNNNNNNNNNNNNNNNNNNNNNNNNNNNNNNNNNNNNNNNNNNNNNNNNNNNNNNNNNNNNNNNNNNNNNNNNNNNNNNNNNNNNNNNNNNNNNNNNNNNNNNNNNNNNNNNNNNNNNNNNNNNNNNNNNNNNNNNNNNNNNNNNNNNNNNNNNNNNNNNNNNNNNNNNNNNNNNNNNNNNNNNNNNNNNNNNNNNNNNNNNNNNNNNNNNNNNNNNNNNNNNNNNNNNNNNNNNNNNNNNNNNNNNNNNNNNNNNNNNNNNNNNNNNNNNNNNNNNNNNNNNNNNNNNNNNNNNNNNNNNNNNNNNNNNNNNNNNNNNNNNNNNNNNNNNNNNNNNNNNNNNNNNNNNNNNNUUAUCAUUUAUUAAUAUAUCAUUAUAUUUAAAUAAUAAAUAUAUUUAUUUAUUAAAUUAUAUGAAAUAAUUAAAAAAUUAUAUUUUUUAACUAUUUUUUUCAACUAAAAUUUGUUCACCUCUUUUAAAAAAAUAAAAAUUAGAUUAAUCUAAAAAUAUUAAAUUUAAAAAACAUUAUUAUUAAUUAAAAAAUUAAAUAGUUCUUUAAUGCAUGAACAUCUUUUUUUAUUUUUUAUUUAUUUUAGAGGUGAAAUUAUUGAGUUUUAAUUAGAUUUUAGUGUUUGAAGCCUCUUUAGAUGCUACUUUGAAUUGCUUUGGUGUUUUAAUUAUUUCAGAUGAAGUUUGGAUCGGUUUGGUAGAGUGCGUGUACAAAAAAAGAGAAGAGUUUGGAAUCAACCAAGCUGACACUAAACGCGGACCUGGGCGUUUAGCGCCAGAAGCCUUGUAAUACGUGCCAAGCCUCAGCCACCAGGGGUGCUAAACGCUAAGCCUGGCGUUUAGUGCCAGCAAGCCAGAAACGAUUGAAAGCUCUCUACCACUAGCGGUGCUAAACGCAACUUAGCACCAAGGAGUCAAAAUCGAAAUGGGAGUUUCUACCACCUGGGGCACUAAACACCGAAUCUGGCAUUUAGCGCCAAUGAUGCGGAUCAAUCUUCACCAAAUGAGUAUCUUUAGUUGGAUUUGACUUUUAAUUAUUGUAUUUUAUUUUGUUUUGAUUAUUUUUAUUUACAAAUAAAAUCUUUUAGGUUUAGAAUUUAUUAUUUUAUUUUAGUUUCAAAUCAAAUUAGGUCAGAUAUAAAAGGAAAAAUAUUUAGCCCUUCGGGGAUCUUUUCUCUUACGCACUUCAUUCCAUAGUUUACACUUUUUAGAAUCCUAGUUUUCUCUCUGAGUCAUGAGUAACUAAACCUCCUUGGUUAAGGUUAGGAGCUCUGUUUAUUCUAUGGAUUAAUACUAUUGCCUCUCUAUUUUAAUUAAUGCAUUGAUUUCAAUUUCAAGGAUUUGCUUUCGUUCUUCAUCCUAGGAAUUAGGGUAUAUUGGAAGAUAACCCUUUUUCUAAUUGAGUUCUUGUUAAAUCUUGGAAAAGUAAUUUACUUGGACAAAAGCUUGAAAGUAAUUCCUCCUAAACAUUAAUUGCUUGGACUUAACGAGAUACGUGACAUAUAAUCCUCUUAUAUUUGGGUAAUUAGGUUUUUGUGGCUAAUAGACUAGAAUUGGACUUAAACCUUUAAUCGAAAUUAAGUGACCAAGGGAUUGACGGUUGACUAGGUUAGAGGAGACUAAAUCAUUGAGAAAUUAGGUUUAGUCAAUCACAGUUUGCCAUAAAUUGAAUCUUGCAUGAUUCAAAUAGUUGGUAAGAAAUAGAAAUCCAGAAAAUAAACAACUCUAAAGCCUUAACUGUUUUCUCACAUAUCUUUUCACACCAAUUUUACUAUUUGCUUUCUAAAUCACUGUUUGAUGCUUUUGAACUCCAAAACAUCAUUUUCUGCUUGUCUGACUAAGUGAAUCACUCAAUCAUUAUUGCUUGGUCCAUCAAUCCUCGUGGGAUCAACCCUCACUCACCUAAGGUAUUACUUGGUAUGAUCCGAUGUACUUGCCAAUUAGUUUGUGGACUUUAAAUUCUGCAUCAUUCUUCAUGUUUGAUUCCCACGAUAAACCAACAACAGAAAAUAAACAUGAACUACCAAAACAUAACUUGUUGAGUGGUCUAAGGACAUAACAAGUAAAACAAAACUAGUUAUUAAUGGCAAAUUAUAGCAACUAAUCUAUGUUAUUAAAAUGGAACAAAAUUAUGCCACUUUUUGCUGGUGUCAUGAUUAACACAACUUCACUUGAAAUUUUCAGACAUAUUGACAAAUACUUGGUGUCAUUAAUCUAAGUUAAACACAUAAAAUCUAUGUGUGUGGAUAAUUUUUUUAGAUCUACAUACUAGACCUUUCAAAAUAGGUAUAUAUUAUAUUAAGUGACUUGAAGGAAAGGGAAGGGAAGGAAAGAGAAUGAAGGUGGUAAGAGAAGAGAGAGUGUGUUGGAAGGUGGGAGGCAUUGAAAGAAUGUGAGUGACGAAAGUUAAGAAGAAGUAAUUAAAUUAUAAAGAUAUUUUAGACAUUUUAAAUUUUAAGUAAAAUCCCAAUGAAAUGGAAUUCCAAAUCGGACCUAUUUGGGUCGGAAUUGAUUUUGAGAGAAAAUAACGUAAUUGAAUUAAAUUCUAUCUAAAUUAAUUUAAUAAUUUUUGUUUCAAAUACUGGAAUUGAAUUCAAUUUCUACCAAGAGAUUUCCAAACACCUUGAAAGAAAGACAAAUAGAGCAAAUCAAAUAUAAUACAGUUAAAUAAAAGAUAAGGAUAGAGUUUGUAAAUGAUGGAUUUUAUUCUAGUUGGACUAAUCCACUUGUAUAUGUUACGUCUAAUUCUUCUCAUAGUCAUGAUGGAGAUUUAUCCGCCAUAAUUUCAAAUUUGAAAUGCGUGCUUAGAAAAUCACUACAAUUUAGAUUAUUUUGGCUGCGUUUGUUUUGUGGAUAGGAUAAAACAUGAUAUUGAGACAGAAACAAUAGAAUAGAAAUACUAAAAUUAUUUUCUAUGUAUUGUAUUCGGAUAUAAUGUAUAAUACACUAAUAUAAUGUCCAAUUUUAUGUUUGAAUACACAUGGACAAGACUAAAAUAUUAUGCAAAAUCACUAAAAUAAACAUUUCUUUCAUACCCUCCUUUCCUUCUCUCUGUCUUUUACUCCUUUCUUGACGCCUAACCCUUCCCUUUGCUAAAAGACGGUGGAGGAAUGAUACCUGCUAUACUUGCUAAACUCUGCUUUUGCCAAUUCAAAAUUUUCUGGGUACAAUUUACUUACGUAAUUUUUUGAAUUUUUUAUUUUUUUCCAUCUAAAAUUUUUAUUGUGUAAAUUGGAAGAUUCAAUAAGUGUUGGAUUUGAUCUUUUUACCCCAAUUAAAAGAAGAAGAAGAACACAAUAAGAGAAGAUGAAGACAGAGAUAGAGAAAGAGCAAGAAAAGAGAGUGCCUCUCUAUAUUCUCUGAGAACCUCUUUGAGAAUGACGAUACAGAGAAGAAGCUUAAAUUAGGGUUUUUGAAAAAAGCGGGUAAUUAUCUAUGGGUAAAAAGGAAAAAAAUUCAUUAAAGAUCCAUGUCCACCCUCUCAAAUUCCGUAUCCAUCAUUAUCAUUCGUUUAAAACUGCACACAAAAUAAAGAAAACAAUCCUGGAGACACUGUGCCCAGUAUCCAUGUCUCUUUAUCCAAACACUUUUUAGAUAUUUACUGUCCAUGUCUCUGUGUCAUAUCUACAAGAACAAACGCAGCCUUUGAUACACCUAACAUAAAUUUUCACCUUUUUUUUGGUGUCUAAACAACAAAGAAAAACACAAAGUAAAACACCUAUCCUAAAUAAUAAGACAUAAUGAUUUGCUAGAGAGCUUCACAAAGGCUCAGACCAAAUAACAUUAUUGAAAUUAUUUCUAGCUCCAUAUCUAGCCAUUUCAUCUGCAACUUUAUUUGCUUUCCUACAUAUCCAAUCAAAUUGCACGUACCAGGAUCUUGAUAGCAGCUCCUGAAUCUUGUUAACUAAAUCAACAACUUCAGAUUUACACCCACUAGGAGAGUCAUACAAAAGAUGAAGAAUGUACAGACAAUCCAUUUCACACACUAUGUCUCUUAAUCCGCAAUCCCAAGCUAAAACAAGGUCCCUCCAAACUGCAAAAGUCUAAUAUUGGAUUAUAGACCAGAGAGGAGAGCUACCAGAACAACCUGCAAUCCAACCCCAUUAGAAUUUCUAACAAGAUAAUCAAAUUCAGCCAAGCUCAAAUCAGUAAACAAACUAGCAUCACAAUUAACUUUAAAGCUAUUACCUACAUGAGAUUUUCAGGACAAAUGGUUCCUGAAGGUACUAAAAGAAGUAUACAUGUUCAUAUAUAACCUUAGAUCCAUGACCGUGCUACUGAUGAGAGCAACCACCUUGUGAUCUGUCCAAUAAUUUUUAGCAUUAAAAAUGUCAUUGUACCUAUGCCUCUACAACCACCACACUCCGACGCCUAAAAGAGCCUCCUUACCAGAUAUGACCUUUCGAAACCAAGCUUCCAUAAAGAAGCCUUCAACCAAAUCAAUAACUCGAGGAUUUAGCAUCUGCCAAAUAACUCUGGAAUAUACACAAUUUCUAAGGCAAUGUUCUAUUGUCUCCAAAGCCACAUUGCAUCUCUGGCACAUAACCGAACUAGCUAGAUGCCGCCUGAAGCAGAAAACUUUCGUCGAAAAAGUGUUAUGAACCCUAAACCAAACAGUCAAUUUGAUCUUUUCCAGAAGAUUCAAGUGCCAAAGCUAGUUUCAGUUGCUAUUUUCAUUCCAAUUUAAUUUAUUCUUUAACAACCAACGAUAACCCUCUUUUGCACUAUACCCUUUUGUCCCUGCAGGCCACCAACUCCACCUUGGUUCCAUGUUAGCCAAUGUCAGAUAGUACAGGUAGUGAAUAAAAUGCUUGACCUCAAGAGGAAUUGUUAAUGCAAGUCUCUCCACCUCCUAAGAUCCAUCAUGCCACAAAUCUACCACUACAAAAUUGGACUCAGAUAUGUGAACAUAAGGAACAAUAUCACAAAGCCUUCCAAAAAGAGUCCACUCAUCAUACCACACAUAUUGCUGCACAUCCCCAACAUUCCAUUUGAAACCAUUCUUGAGAGUAUCAAAUGUUUUGAGAAUGUUCUUCCAAAUGGCUAAAGCGUUCUGACUAUUGUUGUUGCUAAGAAAAGUUGAAUUCCGGAAAUAUUUAUGCAUCAUAACCUAAAACCACAACUUGUCUCUAUUAUUGAAGCAAUCACAAACCAAUUUGUCGAGAAGCGCCAUGUUAGUUGAGUAGGUAUCCCUAACACUCAAACCACCCGUCCUUUUAGGAGUUAUAGCAACAUCCCACUUAAGCAACGACAACCCUCUCCCAUUAGUUUGGCCGCUCCAUAAAAAUUGUCUCAUCAAAGAAUCUAUCUUUUCACAAGCAUACUUCGAAAGAAGAGCAAUUUGCAUGUUGUAAUCCGGAAUAGAAGCCAUUACCGAUUUAACCAAAUGAAGUCUUCCUGCCUUAUUCAGCAAACCCCCCUUCCAACUAGCAAGCUUCUUCUGAAUCUUUUCAAUAAUAUCCUAAGCCAUCCUCCUAGAAGACCUUUCAUGCCCAAUAUUCAUCCCUAGAUAUCUUCCUAAGUCCUGACAAAAGCGGAUAGUAGAAACUCCCGAGAGCACUUCUUUUCUUCUCUCAGAGAUAUUCUUUGAGCAUACUAAGGUUCACCUUCAAUCUUGAUGCUUUGGAAAAUAACUCCAUAGUCUGCAUAACCUCCCCUACCUGAACUUUUGUAGCUUUACAAAAAAGCAGGAGAUCGUCAGCAAACAUCAAAUGAGAGAUUUUAGAGCCAUAUUUGGAGACCAACACAGGUAUCCACAACCCUUGAAAAAUCUGAUGAGUAGUAAAACAAUCAAGAGCCUCCAUAAAAAGCACAAAAAGAUAUGGGGACAUGGGAUCCCCUCGCCUCAAACCCCUCUUUGGGUUGAAAUUCUGAAAUCUCUCACUAUUUCACAAGAUAGCCAAGAAAGAUGACAUCACAUAGGCCAUAAUAAGAUUAAUAGUAGCUCUCAAGAAACCAAAUUUGACCAACGAAGCUUCAAGGAAUCUCCAAUCCACCAUGUCAUAAGCUUUUUCUAAAUCAAUCUUGGAAGUCAUAGUCCCCUUUUUAGACUUAAUAUUCCUCAUGAAAUGCAUAAUUUCCUGUGCAACAAUGAUAUUCUCUGUAGUUCCUCUUUCCAGAAUAAAAUCACCCUGGAGUGGGCCGAUAAUUUCCAAAAAAAAUGGUCAGACCUUGUUCACCAGCACUUUUGAAAUAAUUUUGUAAAGAACAUUACAUAAACUAAUGGGACGAAAAUAUCUUAACGAAGAAGGAGCUUUCACUUUAGGAAUCAGAACAAUGAAGGUCUCAAAAAUAGUGGAAUUUAUAAUCUUUCUCUCAAAAGCUCUCUUGACUAAUCCCCACACAUCAUAACUGAGUCCCAAAAUAUUUUAUAAAAUAGAGCUUGAAAACCAUUCGGCCCAAGAGCUUUGAAAGAAUUCAUGGUCAUUACAACUCUUUUCACCUCUUCUAAUGCCACUGGUUUAACAAAUCUUUGACAGGCCUCAUUGCUAAGAGAGGGAUAGGAGAAAUCUUCUAUAGCAUUGAGGUUAAUAUUCUCCCUUGUAGAAAAUAAUUUUUGAAAGAAAUAAGUUGUUUCCUGCUCAAGCACCUGUGUCUCAGUGGCCCAGGUUCCAUCAUCUAACAACAACUCAUGGAUCUUAUUUCUCUUUCGCCUAAUAACCGUCUGCAGGUGAAAAAACUUAGUAUUCCUGUCACCACAUCAAACUCACUGCUCUCUAGAUUUUUGGUACCACAAAGUUCUUCCUGAAGAAAAAUAGAAUUUAGCUCCUCUUGAAUACCUUGCUCUUUCACCCUCAACUCCGAAUUUUUUCCACUCUUGAGAGAAAUCUGAACAUCAUUCAGUUAAAAAAAUUCAAUUUAAAGAUUUAAUUUUUUUGAAAAUGUAGACUCUACGAAUUUAAAACAAUCCAAACUUUAAAUGUCAAUAUAAGCACUAGAUAUACCUUAUGGCAUCCUCUCCAAAUUCGUGUAAAAGAUUGACUAAAAAUAUAUUUUAAAAGAUACCUAAUUAAACUGAAACUUCACACAAUUUAAGGAUAAAGAUUAUAUUUUUCACGGAAUUUCUUUUUAUAUUUGGUUGCUUGUUGUUAAAAAACUAAGCGUGUGAGUGGAGGCACAAAAAAAUUGACACAAACGAUCAUCAAAUAUUUUACUAAAAAAAAUAUAAUAUAACAAAGUUCCAAACUUGGAUAAACAUUCUACUCUAACAAAAUCUAUAAUAAUGAAAUAAGAAGUGGUAAUUGGUGACACUACUUUACCUUAUCCAAAUCUCUUCCAAAGAGCUCUUAAACGGGUAAUUACUUUAUCUAAACGAAAUACUUGAUACAAAAAUACAAAGUAGUAAUUUGUGAUAUUCUAUCCAAAAUCAAGUCCUAAUUACACUAAUAAUACCUAUCAGUACUAAACUAAAAUGUGUAAAUACUCAAAUAAAUACAAAUAGAAAAUACCAAUAUACAGGAUUAUUCUUCUUUAAACAGUCACUGUAUUAUUUAACUCCUAUCAUAUAAGUCUAAACUAACCAAAUCACCUAUUUAUAUUAAUUAGGUAGUAAAAUUACAUUACGGUUCAAUUGGUUUAAAUAAAUAUUAAAUAAAAUUAUUAAAAAUUGAUAUAUAUAAUGCUUGAUCACUGUCUAGUUGUUCUAUCUUCAAAAAUAAAAAUUUUUAAUUAGUAAUAACUACAAUUUACAAACACAAAUUUACACAAAUUAAAUACAGUUACAGCCAAUGACUAAAUAUUGAUUGUUGAACAGAUUUACAGAAUUUCUAUUCACAUCAAAAAGCAAACAGUACAUGCAGCACCAAAAGUUCAAAACAGAAAAUUAUCAAUUCAGAAAAUAAAUUCAGAAGUCAGAAUCCAUACAAUUAGACAAUUAAAGCAACAAUUAACAAUCAACAAAAUUAAUGAGUACCACAAAAAUUAUUUUAAGAGAAUUAAUUCAAAAUGAAAGGAACAGUGAACCUGAACAAAAUCACUAAAUCAAGUCCGAGACAAGCAACUAGAGAGGGCUAAUUCCAUAAUUUUUAGCCUUGAAAAUGCCCACAGCCUCAUCAAGAAACUUAGCAGAGAAAGAGAGAACCUGGAGAACAAAGGGAAGAAGCGCGACUGCUCGAGCGUUCCACAGAGGUGAAAGCAAGGUCCCUACGCUCUUUUGUGCAAGAAUACGCUGUUGUAAAAGUUAAAAGAACUCCUCCUUUGAAGUAAGAACGAUUAUCCGACUAACCCACACUUUUGGAGGAAGAACUAAAAGGGCUGGUGUAGAAAAUGCCCUUGAGCAGUGGAAUAGAGGUGACGAUGGAGAGACGUUCGCGGUGAGCAGUGGAACAGAGGUGGGCAGCGGCAAACAAUAACCUCAGCAAAAAACAUCAUGAACAGAAAAUCAGAAAUAACAAAUAAAUCUAUAAUCUCAGCAAAAAUAACUAAACCAGCAAACAAUAACCUCAAAAAAUCCAGCUAAUCAGCAAAUCAAUUUGAAACAAAUAACAAGUAUUAUCAGAAAUCAAUUGCUAAACCUUAAACCAGCAAGCAGACGCCGAGGAGAUGGCUGUAAAGUGCGAAACUGCUAACAAAGUAUUACUUACCGGCGGCGAGGUGGAAGGCGACUAACGGCGACGACAGAGGACGCGACACCGGUGAACAGAGAGAAGGCGAGCUCGGCGAUGACAACGACGCGGUGGGGGCAGCGGUUGUCAAACCCGUCGCUGCGGUGGCUGUGGUGGCUGCGCGAUUGGGUGCUGCGGUGGCAAAUGGCUAAAAACAAAAACAAUGAAGGCGAAUCAAAUAUGUAAACCACAUUAAAAUAAAGGAAAUCUGUCAUAUGACUUGUAAACAAUGGAAAUCUGUCAAUAAUUAAAUACCAAAUACUUUAUUAUAUCUUAAAUUAACAAUCAUGAUUCAAUUACGAUGGCAUUAUAUAAAGGAUGUGCAGCACAUGAAAUAACUCCUCUAGAUAAAGGAAAAAAUAUGUUUUGAUGAUUUUGACUCCUAUUCAUCUUGGAAACAUUAUCAGUAUCUUCUUUGUAAUGCAUAAUAUAUAAAAAGUAACAACUAUGCAUCAUUUACUAGCUUACUUCUUGAUGGAUGAGAAACUCACUUCUCCUUUCAAUUCAUUGAUCCUAUUUAGACCUUCAAAAUGUUACUCCUUCUUAAUGGGUUACUUUGUGAUUGUUCCAUCUGUAACAUACAAAUUUACAAACAAAUAAAUUCAGCAACCAAAAUAACUUUAGAAAACAGCAAAUCAUGAAUCCAAAAUAACCUAAGAAAAUCAUGAAUUCAGCAACCAAAAUCAUGAAGUCCAGCAAACAAAUAAAUCACGAAUAAAUAACCUCAGAAAAUCAAAAACAAAUAAAUAACCUCAGAAAACAGCAAAUCAUGAAUCCAAAAUAACCCUAGAAAAUCAUGAAUUCAGCAACCAAAAUCAUGAAGUCCAGCAAACAAGUAAAUCAUGAACAAAUAACAAAUAAAUCAAAUCAUGAAUCCAGCAAAUAAAUAAAUCAAAAAAUCAUGAAACAGAAAAUCAGAAGGCGGCGAGGAGGAAUAGAAUAACAGAGUAUUACUUACCGGCUGCGGGACGCGGUGGAGGCUGCGGUGGUCAAACCCAUCGCUGCUGUGGUUGCGGGACGCGGAGGCUGCUGGACGUGGAGGCUGCGGGACGCUCGAUUGGUGGUGGUGGUGGUUGCAAGGGUUCUCACUUCUCAGAGAAGAGAGGAGAGAUGAGUGGCUUCAAUUGGCGAUUUAAGGUCCAGCACGUGCCUUUCUUCUUCUUCUUCUUCUUUUUUUACACAAAACGGCGACGUUUUAGAGGGUAUAUUUCCGAACCGGAAACCCUCUAAAAAAUCGGACGGUUCUAUUGGUUUACUGGUUAACCAUCGAUUUGAUCAAUUUUUUUACCAGUUUUUUGUCAGACGAUUUCUAAACUUAUCCGGACCAACUAGCUGAUCGGUUUUUGAUUAACCCGGUUGAACCAGCCGAUUCGAUUUGGUUUUCAGAACCAUGAUUCUCAAUAAACUAUUUUUUACCUUUUAAUUUAUAUUCUCAAUAAACUAAAUAUUUAAAUUUUUUUAAUUUAAAAUAAUUUAAAUUCUCAAUAAUGCAUUUUUAUUAGUUUACUCAUAAAUUAAAUAUUUAAAUUUUUUAAUUUAAAAUAAUUUGAAUUCUCAAUAAUGCAUUUUUAUUAGUUUACUCAAUUUUUUUUUUCUUAAAGAAGGGAUUGAGUAGUCAAUUUAAACACAUUGGCCAGUUUGGCUAAACUUCUUAAAUAAGUUCUUUUGAAAAAUGAGCUUAAAAUAUAAGGACUUUUAUUAAUUAUAACUUUUAAAUAAGUUAUUUUGAGUUUGGAUAGUUAUUAUAGAAGUCUUUGUUUUAAAGUUGUGCAUUAAAUAAGAGUGAUAAAAUAGCUUUUGAAAAUAGGAGAAGUCACAUUUUUUAACUUCUUCAAAAGCUCUUAAAUAACUUUUUGAAAAGUUAAAAGUUUAUCUAAAAAAUUGUACCAAACACAUUAAUAUAACUUUCUAUAAGUCAAAAGUUGAAAAAAGUAGCUUUUUAGUGUUUUCCAAACGGACGCAAGCGUGUUUGGAAAACUUUAAAAGUAACUUUUUUAGUUUUUGACUUAUAAAAAGUAGUAGUAUUAAUGUCUGGUGCAAUUUUCAAAACUAAAUUGUGGCUUUCUAAGAAGCUAUUUAGGAGCUUAUAGAGAAAUUAAAAAAAAUGACUUCUCUCCUAAUACUACUACUUUUUAUCAUAUUUUUAUAAAAUAAGCAUUUUUAAAACUAAAAAUCUAAAUACAAAAUAACUUAUUUAUAAGCUACUUUUAAUAUAAUCAUUUAUUAUUUAAACUAUUUUUUCAAAAGAAACUUAAUUAAGUUGUUUACCUAAACUGAGCCUUAUUGUACUAAUUAUCAUAAAACUACUUCUAAAAAUUUAAGUUGAUAAGAGAAGGUAAUAUAAAUGGUUAUACUUUUAAUACUAACAAAUAGGAGAAUAUUUUUUCAAUAUUUUUUUUUAAAAUAUAAUCUUUUAUAUACGAUCUUUAAGUGAAAUAAAAAAAAUGCAAAGAAAAUUUAAUGUAAUGAAAAUUACACCUAACAAUAUGGUAAAUAAUUAAAGAGAAACCACCUAAAAAUGCACAUGAAUUAUCUUGACACUGAUAAAAAUAUUUUUGAAUUUUGUUAUCGACAAAAAUGUGCUCAAAUAAUUUUAAAAUAUACAAAAAAUAUCAUGUCGUAAUUAAAGACCUGCUCUGUUAACGAAAAAUAUGGUGUGACUCACUUGCCAUAUAAGGAGCUCCAUUGCCACAUUAUUCUUUUUUGUUAACAUAGAAUGUCUUAAUUCAUGGGCGUACACUUUGUCACGUUUUUAAAUUAUUUGAGAAAAUUUUUGUCGAUAAUAAAAUUUAAGAACAUUUUUGUGUUGGAAUAAAUUAUUUCAAUAACCCAGAUUAUCCACAUUGAAUUACCAAAAAAUAUAUCAUAAUGUGAAAGCGUACCUUUACUCAUAGAAAUUAGAAAUUAGACAAAAAGAUUGUUUCAGUCUUGUGGUUCUUUCGAUCUUCCUUAACCAAAGCCUUCUGUAUCGCUAAUAGGACUGAAUGGUGACUCUUCUGAUGGAAAAAUAGCGACAAAGGCGACUUUGGUAUAUUGGGGACCGAAACCCUGAAGGCACUAUUUAUAUUUGAACAUGACACCCAUUAAAUCCUAAAGUCCAAAAUAAAAUCGUAUCUAAAGUCCAAAAGAUAAUAUAUCUAAAAUCCAAAAGAUAAUUAUCUAAAGAACAAAAGAUAAUAUCUGCUUUUAUUCUCAUUUAAUUCCAAAUCAAAAGUAAUUAUGACUUAUUCAAUUUAGCAUUUAUAACAAUAAAUGAGAUCACCAUUAUAUAAGUCAUUUAACUUGAAAUAGCACAAUUUGUGAUUAUAAUUAAUAUAUGUAUUGCCCACAAACAAAUUAGAAAAUUAAAAUAAUUUCUUAACAAUCUCCCACUUGUGCUAUACAUAUAUUCUUUCUUGACAUAAUCACAUCUUAUAAAUUUUAUGCGUGCAUCUAAAUGCUAUUUUCUUUAUUACUUUAACAAUUUGGUCCGUCUCAUACAUUAGAUAUGGAAUUACUGCAACUUUUAUCACAUUAAUGUCGUGACUGAACCACGACAAUCACCAUCCUAAUAUACUUAACGACAUAGAUCAAAUUUAGAUGAGUAAUAUGAAAAUUACAUGCAAAGUGAUCUCAUGCAUGUCUAUUUCCAGCUGGUCCAACUUUAAAACUUUAUUGAGAUCAAACACAAAACAAAUAUUGCAAAAUGAACAUUUCACAUAACAUGAAAUAAACCAUCAACUUAAUUCUACAGAAAAAUAAUUCAAUAUCUGUCAUAGGAUAUAUAGUAUAAAAUAAACUCCCACUAAUCCAAGGCACCACAAAUAUUGACACCCAUCCUAGCAAUGUACUCAUGAAAGACUUUAGGGAUCAAUCCCUUGGUUAAUGGGUCUGCUAUCAUAUAAUCUGUUCCUAUAUGUCCCAUGGAAAUCUAUUUUUCUUAAACUUUCUCCUUGACAACUAAGAACUUGAUGUCUAUAUGCUUCAAUUUUGUCAAGCUCUUAUUGUUGUUGGAGUAUAGUACUGUUGACUUAUUAUCACAAAAUAUCUUUAAUGGCCUUUCAAUGUCAUCUACUAUAUGAAACUCAGUGACAAAGUUUCGCAACCAUAUGCCAUGAAAUCAGAAUCAGAGUACUCAAUGAUCUCCAAAUUUUCUGAUCUCCGAUAAAUAAGCAUGUAAUCAUUUGUUCUCUUCAGAUAACGCAUUACGCAUUUUAACAUCUAUCCAAUGAUCCAUGCCCGAAUUGCUCAAGUAUUUACCCAACACUCUCACUAUGAAUGAUAUAUUGGGACGUGUGCAAACUUGAGCAUACAUUAAGCUCCCUAGUGCUGAUGCAUAAAGUUUAUCAUGCAUUGUUGUCCUCUCAAGAUCAUUUUUAGGGUAUUGCUUGAUAUUGAACUUGUCUCUUUUAGCUACGGGUGUGUCCAUUGGUCUAUAACUUUUCAUGCCAUAUCUACUUAAAAUCUUUUCGAUAUAGUUCUUUUGUGAUAAUCCAAGAAUACCUUGAGAGUGAUCUCUUAGUAUCUCGAUUCCUAAUACAAAAGAGGCAUCACCAAGAUCUUUCAUUUCGAAUUUGUUCGAUAGAAAUUUCUUAGUUUCAUGCAACAAGGCUAUAUCGUUACUGGCAAGUAGAAUGUCAUCAACAUAUAAGACCAAAAAAAGUAUUUACUCCCACUGAACUUGCGGUACACAUUCAUCUAUAAUAUUUACCUCAAAACCAUAUGAGGUAAUGACUUGAUGAAACUUAUGAUACUAUUGACACAAAGCUUGUUUGAGAUCAUAGAUGGAUUUUCUUCUUUUUUUUAUUGGAUCUCCUUAAUGGUACUUCUUGAGGUUGUUGAGCUUGCUGUAUGGGUUGGGGUUGAGGAGGAUUCUCAUUAUUUUCCUAUAUUGUAGCAGUAUCUUGAGUAACAACAAUAUUCUCAUUAUUUUCUUGUACUGUAACUGGAUCUACAGUAGGAUUCUCAUUGUGCUCUUGUACUAUAAUUGUAUCUUGAACAAUAAUAGCUACAAAGACCUGAUCAUUGUUAAUUACAGAAUUCUCAUCAAAAGCAACAUUCUUAAUAUUUUUUUCCCCUCAAACUCAACAUCCUCAAGAAAUCUUGCAUUUCCCAUUUUAAAAAUAGACCUUGAUGUAAGAUUGUAAAACUUAUACCCCAUGAACGCUCAGCGUAACCAACAAAGUAGCAACUGAUGGUUCUUGAGUCCAAUUUUCUUUCGUGCGGCUUAUAAGGUCACAUCUCAAUUAGACAUCCCCAAAUAUGCAAAUGCUUUAUACUGGGCCUUUUCCCAGUCUAAAUUUCAUAAGGAAUUUUGUUAACUGCUUUGCUUGGUAUCCUAUUAAGGAUGUAUAGUGCGGUCUUUAAUGCUUCUCCCCAGACUGAUUCAGGCAAGGAAGAAUGACUAAUCAUACUUCUCAACAUGUCCUUAAAAGUUUGGUUCCUUCGCUCUGCAACACCAUUCAUGCUAGGUUUGCCUGGCAUGGUGUAUUGCGGAACAAUACAGCACUCUUCUAGGAAAAGAGUGAAAGGCCCGAUACGUUCUUACUUGAACCGUCAUAUCUUCUGUAGUAUUCACCACCAAGAUCAUAUUUGACAACUUUAAUUUUCUUCCCAAGUUGAAGUUCAACUUCAGCUUUGAAAGACUUGAAAACAUCUAAGGCUUGGGACUUUUCAUGGAUUAAAUAUAGAUACCUGUAACGAGAGUAAUCAUCUAUGAACGUAAUAAAAUACCGUUGUCCAUUCCAAGAAACAGUAGGGAAUGGGCCACAUAUAUCGGUAUGUAUCAGUUCUAAGACAUUUUUAGCUCUCUCGGCACCGAAUUUUCUUUCCUUUUUGUCCUUUUUCCUUUUAUGCACUCAAUGCAGGCUUCAAAGUCCGCCAAAUUUAGGGUUCCAAGAAUUUCAUCCGACACGAGCCUCUGAAUUCUCUAUUUAGAUAUGUGACCUAGGCAUUUGUGCCAUAAUGAUGGCGAAUUAUCAUUUAGUUUUCGUUUUGUACCUGUUUGCAGUAUUUCAUUAUUAUAGGAAUUCAAAUAAAGCCUAUAUAGAUUAUCUACAAACGACCAGAGCAAAUAUUAUUCAAAUUAUAAAAGAAACUGACUUUAUUGUCUCCGAACGAACAAAAAUAACCUGAUUUGUCCAAACGAGAAACAGAAACUAAAUUUCAUCUAAAUGACGGUACAUAAAAUGUCUCUAAUAAAUCCAAGUAAAAUCCACUCGUGGAAGAUAAUCUAAAGGUUCCUAUAGCUUCAACUGCAACUAUAUUGCCGUCUGCCACAUAGAUGUAUCUUUCAGCAUCAUUUGGUGGUCGGCUCCACAGGCAACCAUGCGCAGUAACACUUAUAUGAGUAGUAGCAGCAUAAUCUACCCACCAAGUAUCAACAGGUGCAAAACUUAAACUAGCCUCAAAACAAACAAAAGUAAGAAUUAUACCUUUUUUUACAUGCCAAGUGGCAUAUUUGGUACAAUCCUUCUUCAUGUGUCCCACCUUCUUACAGAAGAAACAGGUUAAAACUUGAUCCUGUUUCUUAGUCUUUUUCUACUGAGAAGGAACAUCCGCAGUAGUAUUACGCUUUCUUUUACAUUGAGAAGAUGAAGCCAUGUGAGCACUUUCAGUCUUAUCUUGUUGUAGCCUCUCUUCUUCUUGCACACAGUGAGAUAUAAGCUCAUUUAAAGACCAAGUAUCCUUCAGAGUGUUAUAACUCACUUUGAAUUGCCCAAAGUAUGCAGGAAGGAAGGUCAAAAUAAAAUGCACGAGUAAAUCUUCAGACAACUCUAACUUUAGUGCUUUCAAUUUUGAAGCAAGAGGAGACAUUUCCAUAAUGUACUCCCUUGUGUUCCCUUUACCUUUAUACCUCAUGGAGACAAGUUUGCUCAAAAGGCUACUUGCCUCCACCUUUUCAUUCUUAGCAAAGGAUUUUUUAACCUAUUUCAGGAACUGUUUGGCAUCUUUAUCCUCAGUAAUUGUUCCCCAAAAUGCCUCAGGAAUUGAGCGUUUCAUGAUCAUAAUGCUCAUUCGAUUGGAUCCCUCUCACUUCUCUAUUUUAACCUCAUUGAGAUUUUCUGGAGUGAAAGUAGGUUUCUCCUCUCGAAGAGCUAUAUCCAGAUCUAUACAACCGAAGACAAUCUCCACGGUAUCCUUCCAAACCUUAAAGUUGGAACCAUUCAGCAUAGGAAUACUGCUAAUUUGUGUAGAAGCAUUGGUAGCUAAAGCCUGAUAAACCACAAUUUUAUGGUUUAUCUUGUAUUGAAUUUGGUGGAUUUUAUCAACUUUUCUUACACUUAUUAGUUGAAAAAGCAUGGUUUUGUGAAUUUCUCCUAAAUUGUGCUUAAGAGUAAAAACAUGAUUUUUAGGCCAUUAAAUUGCUAAAUUUAAUUCACUUGUUUCCCAUUCGAUGCCUUGAUAUGUUUGUUUGAGUGAUCUAAGGUUUUGAAGGUAAGAAUGACUUGAGAAAAUGGAGGAAAAGUAUGCAAAGUGGGAGAAUUAAUGAAGAAAUAAAAAAAUUGCUAAACUGUCAAUCCUGACCUCUUGGUACUAAAUCGAUCAUAAAUUGAGACACAGAGAUCCAAAUGAGGCAGUUCUAGUUGCGUUGAAAAGCUAACAUCCGAGGCUUCAAAAUGAUAUGCAAUUUGCCACAAUUUCCUUACAGUUAGGUGACGCGUACGCGUCGCAGGAUCAGCGUGCUUCACUUAAGGCAACACAUGACCAGUGAUUUCUAGCUCAUUUUGGGCCCAAUUCAACCCAUUUCUGAUGCUAUUGAACCUAAGGAUUGAAGGGGAUGAACCAAGUAGUCCUAAUUUAAGCUUUUUUUUUUUUUAUCAUGUUUUAGGUUAGAAUUCUAAAAAGAGAAGCUCUCUCUUCUCUCUAGAAUUUAGGGUAGUUUAGGCCUAAUUUUCUUAGAUCUAAGUUUUGAUUCUUGUUUCUAGUUCAACUCUCUUUAUAUUUUAUUGUUCUAUGAUCUUAAUAUUAUUAUUUUCUCUUGUUAAUUUCUUUUUGUUGCCAUUUUUACUUUCAUGAACUCUUGUUGGAUCUUGAUUUUCUUUUAUGCAAUUUUGAUGUUUCUUUGUUUAUUGAUGUUUAUUUGAGUUUUUAUUAUUGUUAUUUCGCAUUUGGUAGUCAUAGAUUUUAUUAAUUCUUGAUAUUUACCAUACUUUCCUUUUAUACCUUCCAAGUGUUUGAUAAAAUACUUGGUUGGAUUUUAGAGUAGAUUUUUGUGUUCUUGACUUGGGUUGGUAACUUGGGUAACCUUGAGUUACUAAUGUCCAAGUGAUUGAUAAUUUGUUUCCAUUGACUCUAGUCUCUCACUAAAUUAAUUAGUGAGUUAGCUAGGACUUAUGGAUUAGGAUUGAUAAAGCCCAUUUGACUUUCCUCCAAUAUUGGGGAUGACAAAGUGGGAUUGGUCCUUCUAAUUAUCAUAUUGUGGUUGGUAACAAGGAUAGUGAUCCUUAACCAUCAACCCUUGCCAAGACCUUUUUACCAUUUGAGUUUCAUUUACUUUCAUGCAAUUUAUAUUUCUUGUUCAUCAUUCAAAAAUCCAAAAAUACUUUCCCGUAACCAAUAAUAUGCCCACUUCCCUGCAAUUCCUUGAGAGACGACCCGAGGUUUAAAUACUCUCAGUUUUUAUUGGGUUUGACUUAAGUGACAAACAAAUUAAACUUUGAUUGAGGAUUGUUUGUUGGUUUGAAUCUAUACUUCGACAAAAUUAUUUUGUGAAAAUUUCUAACCGACGAUUUUCCAACGGUUUGGAUCUAUAUAGUUGAUGAAUGAAUUGAGUUGCCAUUGUUAGGUACUUUCUUGCCUUUAAUAUCAUUCUUGUCUAUAUUGCCUCAAAUGUUAGUUUGUUUGUUAAAUUUAUGCUUUGAGUUGUAGGUUAGUUAUUUUGAACUUAAUUUUUGUUUGAAUUGCAAGUUUGUUUGAAUAUUACUUAGUAUAGUAUUUGCUAAAUUUUUCAAAAACUUAAAGAUUUUUAUCAGAUUUGAAUUUUGGUUGUUUUGGAGUGUAUAUAAUGGGUGGGAGUGCCCUGUUUAUGUUUUCAUGUUUAAAAAAAAUGGAUGAGGGUAUCACGCGUACGUCUCGCCUACGCGUGACCCCAAUAAUUUGAUCGCGCCAGGAUCGUGCAAGCACUGUGCUACUGCAUGACUCCAAACAGAGAGUUGCACGCAUAGGGUGCGGGAACCGUGCGUGAAGCACAAUUUCUUCCCACGCGUAUGCGUCACCCUCUAUUUUCCCCUUCUCACGCCUACGCGUGCCAAACGUGUACGCGUCGCAUCCCAUUUCUGCCACUCACACAUACGUGUACAUGUGACCCCCCUUCCUAUUUCACUCACUUCUUUUCUUCGCCUCUCUCCAUUUCUUUUCUUCUUUCCUCUUCUCCUCUAUUCUUUCCUUCUUCCAACUAUCAUCUACCACUACCAUUUACCAUCCACCAUCAUCUCUUUUAGUUAGUUUGUUAGUUAGUUAGUUAUUUAGUUAGUUAGUUAUUUAGUUAGUUAGUUAGUUAGUUUAAUUUUCUAUUUAAUUUUCUAUUUUAGUGGAUAGGCACUGGAUUAUUGAUUUAAUUUGCUGCUUCUUGAUGCUAAAAUUUUUCAUUGUUGGAUUUUUUUAUUGAGGUUACAAAUUGUUGCUUGGUAUUGAAUUCUUCAUGCUUAAUUUUGUGCAUACCAAGUACUUAUGCCUUUGCCUUCAAAGCACUCUAAACCUUUUGAAUUGCAUGUUUUGGCCACCAUGUGAUUUGAAUUCUUUAUUUUGAUUAGGCAAUUUUGAUGAUUGGAUGAUGUGCAUUUAUCUUAAUGCAUCGUGUUGCUUGAUCAUAUGCAUUCAUGUGUUAUGCUUAUGCCUUAAUGACAUGUUGAUUCUUAAUUGUCUAACUAUGUGCUCUACACAUACUUGAAACUAGUCAUUUUGGCAUAAUGAUUCAUUUGUGAAAUUGGAUUGUAAACUCACCUAAGGACAUCUUUUUGAAACUCUCAAGCUAUAUGGACCAUGCUUGCUAUGUGAUUGAUUAACUUAUAUCUCUCUUUUCUUAAGUUGCAUAGCAACCAUAUCUUCCACACUUUAUGUCAACUAGGUGAUGCAAACAAAAAUUCAAUGUGUGUCAUUGAUUGAUGUGUAAGUUUCAUAUUUCAUUUGGUUCAUUAAGUUCUCUCGCACAUCAACCAAUGUCUAUUCAUUAUCCAAUUUACAAUUGCUUGAUUCUUACUUGAGUGCUUUCAUGCCUCUUUAUUACUUGUUUGUUUGUCUUAACCAACAAGUUUUCUUUAAAGUAUUUCAAGUACACUAGAAUGAGUAAAGUGCAUACUUUUGUUGUGUAAUUGUGGCAUAGCUUUCAAUGCUAGUGUAUGUGUUCUAACCCGCUCGCAAUUUGGAAUUCACACAUUUAUUUUCAUCAAUGUCACACACGUAUUCACUCACUUCAUUUUAGUGAUUCUUACCUCAUUCCAACAAUAUAUGCUUCCUUGCUUUUACAUUUGCUUGUCUUACUAUCUUGUUUUCUAUUUUUCAAGAUGAACCACCAUAAGCAAAAACGGAAGCCAAAAAAAGUACAUGCAGUAGCGAGUUGAUCCACCAGCUGAAGGUGGCAAUCCGCAUAGUCGUCGUACCCCCUUGCUCACCUUUGAAUGCACCAAGAACGGUGCAACCUUUUAAGUGUGGGGAGGUCGUCCGACCAAUCGGCUGAUUUUUGGGUGAAAAUUUUUCAAUCCCAACACUUUCACAUUUUAUUUUAUUUUAUUACUAUGUCUUUUAGAAUUUUUAGUUGCAUUUUCUUAUUCUGCAUAUAUAUAUAUAUAUAAAAUAAACUUAGCUAAAAAUAAUGAAAUUUUCUAAGAAUUUUAUCUAUAGGGCACCCCAAUUGAUUUGAGUAAAAUUUUUUAUUGAACUUGCUUGAAUUAUAUAUUGUGGAACAUGUUUUUGAGCUAAGAACACAUAAGCAUGUGAGUUUUGACCCUAAUUGUAUAAUUACAUCAUAUUAACCACUAAUUUCCUUCUUGUAUGUGUUAUUCUCUUUCUAUGAUUGUAAUCUUUGAUUUGUUUGAUUCUUUAUGUCUAUUAUUCUAUGUAUGAAUGCAUUUACAUGAUUGAGGUCUUUAUUUCGAAUAGCUCACUUAACCAAGUGGCCUACCUUUUUAUCCACCUUUGUUAACCAAUUUUGAGCCUAUUUUAAUCUCCUCUGUGUUCUUAAUUUUAGCACAUUAAUAGCCUUAAAGCGGAAAAUAAUGAAUGUCCUUAAUUUGCAUCUUUGAUUAGCUUAGGCUAGUGAGAGUGUGCAUCAUUCAAGUGUGGGAAAGUUUGGGAAUAUUGGUUGAGAUAAAAGUGUAUUUUUGUUGAAGAUCUUGGGAAUUGGGUACAUACUCAUGCAUUAAAUGUUUAAACCAUAUGGAUUGAUACUCUUGUAUAUAUUUUAUUUUGAAAAAAGAAAAAAAUAUAUAAAAAUAAAAAGAACAAAAAAAUAAGAAGAAAAAGAAAGCAAUAAAAAGGGGACAAAAUACUCCAAAAUAAAGUAAUAAUAUCAAUGCAUAUGUGGUGUGAAAUGAAAAGAAUGCAUGAGUGUGUGAAAAAAUGAAGAAUGGGUAGUUAGGUUUGCAUUUGAAUUGUAUAGGUUGUUGUAGGUUAGGUGAAAGUUUAAGUUAAUCAAAUAUUCAAAUUUUAGUCCACUUGAUCAAAUAUAAUCUUACCUUGAUCCUAACCCCACUACAACCUAUGGAUAAGUCCUCAUGAUACUUGUAUGCAUGCUUUGAAUAAUUGUUGAUUGUUAGAAGAAGAACAAAUCUUAGAAAGUAUGAUUAGAGGAGAAUUGAGUGAAUCAACCCUAUAACUUGAGCGAUCAGAGCGGAUACACAUCCGGUGAGGGGUUCAAUUGCUCAAUUACAUGUUUUCACCUAUAAUUAUCUCCUUCUUACAAGUUUAUAAUUCUUUUCAAUAACUCAAUUCAAUUGUGGAUUUGAUUUGAUUAUGAUUGCCUUAGCCCUUAUGUUCAUAUUUGUAUUUUUGGAAAUUGAAUUAUUUUGACUAAGUAGUUGCAUGCAUUGCAUUUAGAUAGUUUGCAUUAAAUAAAUAUUCAUACCCCAUUUCUUGUCUUUCUUUAUACUUAGCAUGAGGACAUGCUAUUUUUUAAGUGUGGGGAGAUUGAUAAACCACAAUUUUAUGGUUUAUCUUGUAUUGAAUUUGGUGAAUUUUAUCAACUUUUCCUACACUUAUUCGUUGAAAUAGCAUGGUUUUGUGAAUUUCUCCUAAAUUGUGCUUAAGAGUAAAAACAUACUUUUUAGGCCUUUAAAUUGUUUAAUUUAAUUCAUUUUUCUCUCAUUCGAUGCCUUGAUAUGUUUUUUUAAGUGAUCUAAGGCUUUAAAGGUAAGAAUGGCUUAAGGAAAUGGAAGAAAAACAUGCAAAGUGGGAGAAUUAAUGAAGAAAUGAAGAAAUUGUUAAGCUGUCAAUCAUUACAUCUUCGUACUAAAUCAAUCAUAACUUGAGCUACAUAGAUCUAAAUGAGGCAGUUUUAGUUGUGUUGGAAAGCUAACAUCCGAGGCUUCAAAAUGAUAUGCAUUUGCCAUGGUUGCCUUGCAGUUAAGUGAUGCGUACGUGUGACCAAUGCGUAUGCAUCGCAGGAUCAGCGUGCUUCACUCAAGGCAAUACGUGACCAGUGAUUUCUAGCUCAUUUUGGGCCCAAUCCAACCCAUUUCUGAUGCUAUUGAACCCAAGGAUUGAAGGGAGAUGAAUUAAGUAGUCAUAAUUUAAGUUUUUUUUUUUUAUCAAAUUUUAGGUUAGAAUUUAGGAUAGUUUAGACCUAAUUUUCUUAGAUUUAAGUUUUAAUUCUUGUUUCUAGUUCAACUCUCUUUAUAUUUUAUUGUUCUAUGGUCUUAAUAUUCUUAGUUUCUCUUAUUAAUUUCUUUUUGUUGCCAUUUUUACUUUCAUGAACUCUUGUUGGAUCUUGAUUUUUUUUAAUUCAAUUUUGAUGUUUCUUUGUUUAUUGAUGUUUAUUUGAGUUAUUAUUAUUGUUAUUUUGCAUUUGGUAGUCAUAGAUUUUAUUAAUUCUUGCUAUUUACCAUGCUUUCUUUUUAUACCUUCCAAGUGUUUAAUAAAAUGUUUGGUUGGAUUUUAGAGUAGAUUUUUGUAUUCUUGGCUUGGGUUGGUAACUUGGGUAACCUUGAAUUACUAAUAUCCAAGUGAUUGAUAAUGUGUUUCCAUUCACUCUAGUCUCUCACUAAAUUAACUAGUGGGUUAGUUAGGACUUAUGGAUUAGGAUUAAUGAAACUCAUUUGACUUUCCUCCAAUAUUAGGGAUGACAAUGUGGGAUUGAUCAUUCUAAUUAUCAUAUUGUGGUUGGUAACAAGGAUAAUGAUCUUUAACCAUCAACCCUUGCUAAUAAGACCUUUUUACCAUUUGAGUUUCAUUUACUUUCAUGCAAUUUAUAUUUCUUGUUCAUCAUUCAAAAACCCAAAAAUAUUUUUUCAUAACCAAUAAUAUGCACACUUCCCUGCAAUUCCUUGAGAGACGACCCGAUGUUUAAAUACUUUCGGUUUUUAUUGGGUUUGACUUAAGUGACAAACAAAUUAAACUUUGAUUGAGGAUUGUUUGUCAGUUUAGAUCUAUACUUCGACGGAAUUUUUUUGUGAAAAUUCCUAACCGACAAUUUUCCUACAUCAACGCCAUAGUUUUUGGAUUAGAACAAAAGGAACAUGCAGUAAACAUUAGUUAAAUAAUGGGAAAAAAAUUCAUAUUGAGAUAUCCAAAACAACAUUAAUUUUCAAUCUUUGGAUAGAAAAAUUAACUGUAAGUGAUACUCUCAUUGCAGUAAUCAAAUAUUGUCAAAAUUUCUGUCACACAUUAAGCAUUUCUUUGGACCGACUGAAUGCGCACAUGAAAACUUAAAUUUCGCAACCUAUUUAUUACCGCAUAUAUUUUAUAUUAAUUGGCCAAACAAUAACCUUCCUUUGGGCCGAUUAUUGACCGCAUAAUUAAAAGAAAAUAAACAAAAGUGUGCAAUACUUAUUAUUUGACCAAACAAUAAACUUCCUUUGGGCCAAUUAUUGUCCGCAUAAAUAAUAAGCAUUAUUUUAUUCUUAAUUAGUUACUAAAUAUGUAUUUACCAUCAAUAUGUGUAUGUAAUUCGGUCAAAUAUAGACCUUUCUUUAGGUUGACAAAUAUUCGUAUGAAUUACAUAUCAUUAUAUUUUUAAUGUUUUAAAUAAAUCAAUUUUCACAAAAGAAGCUACUUUGGCAGUAUAAUAUUCAAUCAAUUUAUUCAAAAACCAAAUCUUUAUAAAAUUGGUGGAUAUAAUAAUCCUUAUAUCCCAAGAGGAUAAUUAAUCAAUUUUGUACCAAAUUAAUGGCACACACAAUUAAAUCUAAAACAAUUAUAAUUUAAUAAUAUUUUAUAAAUAUUUUAGAAUAUUUAUUAUACCCAAAAAAAAUAACUCUAACAAAUCGCUCUCAUACAAAAUAUAUAUAUGUAUAUAAGUGUACCUUAAUGUAUAACCAAAUAAUGAUAAUAUAUAUAAAUAUUCAUACAUAAUAAUACACAUAUAUAUGCAUAUAAGGAACUGCAAUCCACGCGAUUAGCAUAGAAAAAGUUAAUCUCUGUGUUCGUCCAACAGUAACAACUACAUACGACGCACACACAUAAUAAAAUAUAUAUGUGUGACACCAAUGAACAGAAUUAUAGCCGACUAUUCUUAAUUAUAAUUUUGUUGCGUAGCAAUAUUCAAUGUAGGCAGCGCAUACAUAUACAUGUAUCAAUAAAAAAAAAUAAAAUUAAAUAUUUUUGAUGAUUAAAUUAUGAAUGGUUCUGAUACCACUUGUUGGAAUAAAUUAUUUCAAUAACUCAAAUUAUCCAUAUUGAAUCACAAAAUAUAUCAUAAUGUGAAAGCAUACCUUUACACAUAGAAAUUAAAAAUUAGACAGAAAGAUUGUUUCAGUCUUGUGGUUCUUUCGAUCUUUCUCAACCAAAGCCUUUUGUAUUUCUAAUAGGGCUGAAUGGUGACUCUUCUGAUGGAGAAAGAACGACAAAGGCGGUUUUGGUAUAUUUGGGACCGAAACUCUAAAGACACUAUUUAUAUUUGAGCAUGACACUCAUUAAACCCUAAAGUCCAAAUAAAAUAGUAUCUAAAGUUUAAAAAAUAAGAUAUCCAAAAUCCAAAAGAUAAUUAUCUAAAGAACAAAAGAUAAUAUCUGAUUUUAUUCUCAUUUAAUUCUAAAUGAAAAGUAAUUAUGACUUAUUCAAUUUAGCAUUUAUAACAAUAAAUAAAAUUACCAUUAUAUAAGUCAUUUAAUUUGAAAUAGCACAAUUUGUGAUUAUAAUUAAUAUAUGUAUUACCCACAAACAAAUUAAAAAAUUAAAAUAAUUUCCUUACAUUUUGUGAAUGACAAAAUAAUUCGGAUACAUUUUUUGUGGUUUAUCCUAUCUUAAAGUUAAGUGAACUAUUAUGAGUACAAAGCACUUUUUCAAACAAGAUAACACGAAAGAGUGAAUCACUAAGACAUUGAAUACAAGAAUAUUAUUAUUGUCAACCUCAAGGAUCACUUUAACUUUUAGGUACUCCUCUCCAAAUCCCUAAUUUUGUUCCACACUUCACUCUCCUUUCUUUCCUUCUCUUCCUCUUCAUCUUUCCUUCACUCUCAUUCUAAACUUCCAUCCGAUCGCCAAGUUAAUAAAAGUAAAGACAGGCACGGACCCAACUUGUAGUAUGAGGGGCACUUGCCCCAAUUUUUAUAUUUUUAUAUAAUUAAUAAUAUUCAACAAAUUUUAUUUUAGUGUAUAUAUUUUUGCCCCCACUUUUAAAAUUUUCUGGGUCCGUCACUGAGUAGAGUUAAUUAUCAAUUUUAUAUCUGAAAAAUUCACGCAUUGACAAAAAUGUCACUGAAAGAUUUCUUGACAAAAGAGUUUUUAAAUGAUUUAAAAUUAUGACAAAAAUAACCAAUAAAUAUUAUAUUUUUUAUAAGUGACAAAAACUUUUAUAUUUAGCAAAUGACAAAUCCAUUUGAUCUUAAUUUUGUGACAAUAUUUAAAUAAAUAUUUUAUAAGGUGCAUAAAAAAGUUUGGAACAAAAUUUGAUCUCUAUUUUUUUUCAAAAUAAUGUGGUCAUUCUCGAUGAAAAUUUUUAUAAAAAAUUUACUUGACAUAAAGUUACCAAAAUUUAAGAAUGAAAAGAUCUUAUUUUUCUAAUAAUGUGUACAAAAAUUUAUAUUAAAAUUUGACCCCUAAAAUUAUAUUUUAGAAUAUAUAUUUAAUAUCUAGCUUUUUUGUGUGGUUUUAAACCUUUAAGAAGCUUAUUUAUUAUUAGCAUCUUUUGAGGUUAUUUUUAUUAGCAAUGUAAAUUUUUUAGUACCAUUUUUGUUAGCCAAUAGGUUGUUGUAUGCACAAGAUGGAAUUCGAAUCUCGAUACUUGUUUAAGCAUACAAGUGAAUUGACUACUUGACCCAUCCAAUUUGGUUAUUUGGUAAAAGAAGCUAAUUCUUGGGAAUGAAUCCUCUCAAUUUUUUUUUCAAUUGAUGAAAUUAGGGGUGUGCAUGGCCCGACCCGACCCGAAGACCCGGCCCGGUUCCGAACACUUUAGGGGCUAAUUUGGUGUGAUUUCACCGGGUCUAGGGUCGGGUAAGGGUCUCAAAAAUAGACCCGGUCAUUAUUUCGGGUCGGGUCCAGGCCAUGACUUGGGUCACCCGAAAUCGGCCCGGUGGCCCGGUCAUCAUACACAAUUAAUAUUUUGUGUUAUUAGUGAUGGAUGAUGGUUAUUCUUAUGUGAAAUUUAAGUAUUGUAAACCUUAAUAUUUUGUGCUAUUAGUUAUUAUAAGACUAUAAGUUAAUGUUUUAUGUUUAAAAUGCAUAUGCAUAAGAUUUUAAACUAAUGCAUAAUCUUGUGUUAUUUGUAUUGAUUUAAAUAUUUGGUAUUAUUAGACAAUAUUAGUAUUGAUUAUGGUUAUGCUUUAAUUUUAGAGAAGAGUUGGUUCUUGUUAUAUUUUUCUAAGUGAAUUUUACCAUGUCAAAUAAUGAUUGGAGUCUUGCAAAUUUGGAUAUUUUCACAUGCUAGCUUAUAAGAAGGUAUCAAGGUAAUGUAAUGUUAACGGCCCGGUUUUUACCCGAUAUAAUCGUGGCCCGAAAGUGUAUAGGUUUCAUCGGGUCUAGGGUCGGGUUCGGGUAUAAUAAAUAGGCCCGGUAUAUAUUUCAGGUCGGGUCUGGGUCGCAUCAAACCCGGUUUCACCCGACCCAUGCACACCCCUAGAUGGAAUAAAAUGUGAUCUUUUAACCCUUCAAUAUUUUCUCUUGGUCACAUCUAUAAAAUAUAUAGUGAGAGAUCAUAUUUUAUUCCCUCAAGUAAAAAAAAUUGAGAGAAUCCAAUUUCUUAAUUUUUUUAGUUUUGACAAAUUUUAAAUGUAAAAACAAGUAAACAAAGAAUAAAUAUCUAUCUCCACCCCACAAUUUCUUCUAAAGACCAGGAGGUCCCAACAAAAAAAAUAUCCAUUUCGACCCUUGUUUUUUAAUAUUGUAAGACUAAUUAGUCCUCAUGUUAAUGAUAUUUUUUUAGAAUAUGCUUAUGUGAUACGUUAAUCACGAAUAUAUUUUUAAUUUAAUUUUUAUAAGCAAAAAUAAAUUAAAAAUUACUAAUAUUUCUUAAUUUUACAUACAAAAUUUAACUAAUGUAUUUAAACAAAUUAAUAAAAAAAUAAAAUAUAACUAAAGAANNNNNNNNNNNNNNNNNNNNNNNNNNNNNNNNNNNNNNNNNNNNNNNNNNNNNNNNNNNNNNNNNNNNNNNNNNNNNNNNNNNNNNNNNNNNNNNNNNNNNNNNNNNNCUCCAAAUAAAAAAAUCUAUCAAUCUUAAUUAGUUUUUAAUGGAUAAAUCAAUAGUUUAAUAUGUCACGCAUAUUUAUUUUAUUAAUAUAAAAAAAUAUUAACAAAAAGACUAUUCAACUUCACAGAAAUAAAGAUUAAAAGUCGGAGACGUAAUUUUUUUUAUUAAACCUUGUUGCGAGGGCCGUUUAAGAUUUUCUCUUAAAAGAAUAAUCUCCAAUAAAUUUGAUAUUACUCUCAUUCUCUAAUAUAUUUGGCUGAAAAAAUAAAUAAAUAAAUAAAUUGAAGAUAGAGAAUCAUUAUGGACAUGCAUAUGUGAUACCAAUGGAUUCUCUAAAGCGGCAGUAGGUGUUCAUAGCUCUAGUUGCUUUAAUCUUGCAACUGCACCUGGGUAUCUUCCUUAUUCCGUUUUGCUUCCAACUUGGAAGCUUUUCAAUGCUGCUACUGCUAAACCAAUUAUUAUUGUGCUUCUGAUAAUAUGCCUGCAAUUGCAGUUGCAGACCACAAUUUAAAACCCUUUACUUUACUUUCGUUUUGUAGAUUUAAGCCAUGAUUUGAAACCCUUGUAAUAUUUUUUCAAUUAUAUAUCUCGACGGCCUUAUUGGUGAUCUGCUCCUUUGUGAAAAAAAAAAAAUAAAUAAUCACAACUUAUUGCAUCGAGAAUGCAAUUAUAGACUUAUAGUUAAAGAAUUAUAUAUUUUGGUGACGCUUAAAAAUUAGGAAAAAUGACAGAUAGGGCCUGACUUUUUAAAUUUUUGAUAAAUACAUCAUUGACAAAAUUUAAAUACAAAAAUGUCCCUGACUUUAACAAACGGAGGACAAUUUAGUUCUUCCGUCUAUUUGCCUCUCAUACACCAAACGGAACUGGCUAACGUGGCUGAAACGGUGUCUAGGUGUCCGUUACGGUGCCAUGCUGGAAGGGGAAUAAAGUUCGAAGGACAAAUAAGUCGUUGACGUUAUUUUGCAAAUAAAGUUCGAAGGACACAUAGGUCCUUGAGAAUUUAGUUCAUUAUACUUCUAUUAUGCUUCUAUUAUGAGAAUUUAGUUUAUAAAAUUAUGCUUGUAUUUUAAAAUCUACUUAACUUGUUGUAUUCUACAAUUUAAAUUAUUUGUAUUAAAAUUGCAGAAAUUGGGCUUGUUCUGUUUCUACUUUUUUUUUCUUAAAUUGCAUUAGUUCAAUUUUAGUACAUUUGUGUAUUAUAUUAGAAUUUGUUAAAUUGCAUUCGUUCAGUUUUCAUCAUACCAGUGGCAGUAGUUAACAUCAGUUCAUUUAUGCAUCAAGUUAGCAUUAGUUCAUUUGUGCAUCAUUCAUGUAUUAAGUUAGCAUUAGUGCAUUUGUGUAUUAUAUUAGAACUAGUAUUUUUAUCCAUAAUAACAUUACGAGAAUAAUUUUUUUUUUUAUGAUAAAGUGAAUCGAAUGAACUUGGUUCGAACUCCUUAUAUAGCCGAAAUCCGUGUAAUUCGAAUCAAUUAGAUUCGAAUUACUAACACUCACCAAAUUCACCUAAUUCGAAUCAAUUUGAUUCGAAAUUCACUCAAGUGCCAUUUUCCAAGUAAUUCGAAAUGAUAUGACUCGAACUACUCCAACAUAAUUCGAAGUAAGUCAUUUCGAAUUAUUAAGGAAUUUUGCAUGCAUAAUUCGUUUCUAAUUGAUUCGAAUUACGUGGGAAUAUUCUUUGAUAGUAAUUCGAUUUGAAUCAAUUCGAAUUACUUGCAAACUGAAUUCGAAUCCUUUUGAUUCGAAUUAUAUAAAAAUCUGUUCUGGUGGAUUGACGUAUCGAAAUUUGAUUUGGCGGAUUUAUGUUAAACUAAGCUCCCCUUGGCUCAUUUGGGUUUUUUACUAUAAAAUAUAAUUAUAUAUAGAGUAAAAAUAGUAGAGAGAAAUAGAAAAAUAGAGAGAGGUAGAUGAGAGAAUUUAGGAAAGGAGUUUAUUAAUUUUGAAAAAAAAAUUCUCUUAAUUUUAAUAAGAGUGUCAUGUGACACAUUUGAUUAUUAAAUUAGAUAGUAAUAUAUGAUACAUAAUAUAGGUAUAUUUCAAUUAGAUAGUAAUAUAUGAUACAUAUAGAAGCAUAAUGAACUAAAUUCUCAAGGACCUAUUUGUCCUUUGAAUUUUAUUUGCAAAAUGACAUCAAGAACUUAUUUGUCCUUCAAACUUUAUUCUCCUUCCAGCAUGACACCGUAACGGAUACCUGAACACCGUUUCAGCCACAUCAGUCAGUUUCGUUUGGUGUAUGAAAGGCAAAUAGGUGGAAUGACUAAAUUGUCCUCCGUUUGUUAAAGCCAGGAACUUUUUGUAUUUAAAUUUUGUCAUGGAUAUAUUUGUUAAAAAUUUAAAAAGUCAGAGACCUAUCUAUUUUUUUUCCUAAAAAUUAUAUAUAAAAAUUACAUUUGAUAUUGUCAAUUAUCAAUUAUAUGAAAUAAAAUAAAAAAAAAAAUUAUAUAUAAAAAUUACAUUUGAUAUUAUUAAUUAUUAAUUAUAUGAAAUAAAAUAAAAAAAAUCAUGGUCCGAAAUAAUCUACAAUUCUACAUAAAAGGGAGAAAAGGAAAAAAAAAGUGAAUUGAUUUAAGAAUAAAUUAUUAUAUAAAUUCUUUUUUAGUAAAAGUCUAUUUUUACUGAAUGGAGUCAGUUAUAUGGAAUCAAAGAUGUCAUUGCGUCGUGUGGCCAUGCAUCGUCAUGCAUUGGGAUGCGACAUUAUUUUACAUUGGUUGUUGCAUACUAAACAACCCCCUCAUAUUUUCGGGUUUGGGAUGUAAACAGAGGCGGAAUUAAAUUAUCAUAUAAAUUACAAAUAAUUAAAUAAUUUAUUUUCAAAAAAAAAUAAUUAAAAUGUCUAAAGAAUUGCUCGUCAGCCCAACAAUAUUUGUGUUCUACUUCCUUUUCUUAUGUUUAGAAUAAAGUACCCACAAAUCUCAUUCGAAUAGAGUCAUGGACCUAGUAAGAACAUUAAGAAUAUUUCCUUUUCGGUUUUCUAAGGGUGAAACACAAUGACUAAUCUUUUUGCUACAAAUCAUCCUAUUAAGAACAAAUGACUAGUUACAAGAUGCUUUUCAUGACUAAGGUAGGAGUAGGAUUCAAACUUCUAACUUCUUAAUCAAGAGACCAAGUGAUAAAAUACCAAACUAUACUCAAGUAGUUAUAUCACCAAUAAUAUAAUCACACAUAGCAAUGUAAUGUCCAAAUAAUCCAUAUCACAUUUAUAUCACUUAUAAUAAGUGAGACUUCUCCCAUGUGAAAGUCUUGUGAUUUUGGAUAAUGCGGGGUGUUAGAAUAUCUGACACCCACUCAGUUAAAGUUAGAACAUUGUUUAGCUCGUGUUUCAUUGUCUCUACGCGUUUGUUUGCUUUUAUAAAUAUGUAACACGAAAUUCUACUGAAAUUUUUGCUCAUGAUUGUUCAAUAUCAAUAUAGGCUUUUAAUUCUAAAUUAUUUGGGAGUAUUCACUAGGAUCAAUUUCACAUCAUCUUGAGUUUUCUGCUAUUUAAUUAAUAAAAUCUUAAGUUAUGGUCUAAAUAGAAUAAAGUGUUCUUUAAUGGUUCUGCUAAAAAUGUUUUUCUUUUAUGUAUGUUGGCCCGCAAAAUACAAGUGUUACAAUGGAUAAGCAUUCGGUACUUAUUAUACAUUUUGGUGAACCCCCAGCCUCAUUUUCCUCAAUUCCAUUUCUUCAGUUGUUAUACAAUGCUCUCUGGAUGAAACUGCACCUCCUGUAAUUUUGAAGAACUAAAACUUUAGCCUAGACUUACCAGUUAAUAAAAGCAUGAACAAUCAAAAUCCUUCAAUGCUAGAGAGGAAAUUCUUUAUUGUACAUUCACCUUUUCAAACAUCAAAUUCUUAAUUCUAAGUUUAUCUUAAGAUGAAUUCUAUGGUACCUAUAAAUUGGUACUUAAUUUUUGCCUAACUUACCUUUUAUAUCAAAUUCUAAAUUUUAAAAAAUUAUUUAUUUUUUAUACUUUUUAAAUUAAAUAUUGAUUUUUAACUUUUUUCAGCAUUUAAGCUCUACCUUUUAAAUACCAUAGCAAUCACCUUAAUAUGCAACACUUUUGAGCGAAUUUCAACAAAGGAUGAUAAAUCAGUUUUGAGUAAAGAGAAUGCAGUGGCUAAAUGGAUGGCUAAUUAUACUAAUGCUAGUGAAAAUAGGAAGUUACAAACAAAUUCAUAAAACAAGAAUUGAAUUUUGUAAAUAAAAGUAGUGAAUUCCUACUUUGAUAAUCUGGAAAAUGCUCCAUCUUUUCCUUUCGCAACAUAAUACACCGAAGAACUUACAUAACAAUUAGUCUAACUAAGAAAUUUACAUCAUAACAAUUCAUUAAUAACCAUGAUUGAUAUUAUGUCAUUCUCAAUAUACUAGUUGACCUUAAAGAAGUUAGAUGACAAGAGAUUGCAAAAUUAUAAAACACUUUAGAAGAGAUGCAAGGUCAGCUAGAUGGAGCUCAUGCUGCAAUUAUAAGUAAUAGAGAAACAACAAAACCAACAAUUGAGCAAGCACCACACUACCACAGUAAUUAAAUAGAUUCUGCUGUGGACAACACUAAGCUAGAGUUACUAGCAAAUAAAAGUGAGGAGCUGGAGGUAAGUAUAAACUUCUGUCUUAAAAGGGUAUGUUUUAUUGUCAGAGGAAAAUGGUGAAAACAACAGAAUUAUUUUGGCUUGAAGUUCCAAUACAUUUUGCAGAUAAAAAUUUCACCCAAAAAAUUAUGUUAUAUUUUUAAAUAGUAUAAUUUAAAGAAAGGAACAUACUUUUAACUUUGUUUCCAAGAAGAAUGUUAUGCCAUUUGUCACUCGAAAUUUAAAUUACAAAAAGUAGAAGCAAAUGUGGGGAAUGAAAAUUAUAAAACGGUCCCCUAUGGAAUAGAAUUGAUGAUUAUUUGCAGAAGAAUAUAAAUUCCAAUCCAACAUGAACAAUAUCAAAUUCAGUAUCUGCCUACUAUACUUACAUACAUACAAAUAUGUACCAAACAAAGAAUCUAUUGUUCCUCAAACACAAAAUGAAUUUAUAUACUUAUCAUCAUCAUUUAGUUAUAGCCACCAUGAAAUCAAUCGAUCAACUACCUAUCCACAUCCUCAAAAACAAGACGUAAUUUCUAACUACAAAAACUUCAUCAAAACUCCAUGUAGUUUUCAUAGAAAAAGCGAAAAGAAUGGAACUUUAAUGCCCUUGGAGUAGGUGGCAGAGGUAGAGGCAGAGGCGGAGGAAGAAGGAAUGAAGUCAGAGUUGAUGGCGAGGAAGAGAAACAGGGCGACGACAGCGACACACAUUGCACAAACAGCGACGGCGGAAGAAGACAGACCGCCGAAAACGUCAAGAACCCUAGCAGAAUCACAAAUUAUGUUUAAGGGUGGAGAGGGGAAAUUUGGAAACUAAAAAUCGUAGGGGUAAAUGUAGAAUUACAAAAAAUGAAAACAGAGGGUUCAAUUUGAAAUUACUAAAAUCCGUGGCCUAAAUAAGAUUUUUUUUUUUUGGUGAUAGAGGGGGGUUCAAAGACCCCAAACAGAACAAAGAAAACCAAUUAGACUAGUCCUCUAAAGAGGGGAACAACAGCUAUAUCAGUGAUAAGAGUAUGUGUAAUCUCAGCAGGGGCCGAAUCAAAAGUAUGCAAUCCAAAAGGGAGGUGUUGUCCUUUCUUUGCUAAAUGAUCAGCAGCAAAGUUUGCUUCCCUGGGAACAUGACUCCAAUACACUUGAGGGAUUCGAUUGGCAUGGAGCUUAAUUUCUUCAACAAGGGGAGAGCACGGGUGGCCCGCAGGACAUCCAUGAGAGAUAAAUUUCAGAGCAGCAGUCGAAUCAGAUUCCACGAUAACACUAGAUUGAGUAAGAGUAGAGGCAAUUUUAAGACCAUGGAUUAUACCCCAAAGCUCUGCAUGCAUAAUUGAGCAACUUCCAAGGUUACAAGAGAAGCCUUUCACGAAGCCUCCAAGAUGGUUCCUAACAAUUCCACCACACGCUGCAUUAUUUCUAUGCGCAAAAAGAGAGCCAUCAACAUUCAGUUUCACAACACCUUCGCUAGGGGGAGUCCAGCAUAUUGGACGAUCAUGCUUAGCACUAUAGGUGAUUAAAUGAGUCAUAUUCCUUGUGAACCGGCUGAAUUCAUCACUUCGGGUUCGAAUUUGAGCUAGGACUGAAGGUGCAGGGCUGUCUUUACCUUCGAACAUUAGCUUGUUGCGGAAGAACCAGAUUGAGGAGGUAGCAACACCAAAAAUGCAUUGCCAGUUGCUGUGUGCGGAGAGGUUUGCUUUAAUCCAAUCAUGCAGGCUUGAAUUAAAGAAACCUUGUUUCCACAUUGGGGGUAAAAGGGCAUCCCAGAUGCUAGACGCAAAAGCACAAUCUCUUAGUACAUGAAGUGUAGUCUCACUGUGAUUGCUACAUCUUGGAUAGAGGGGGGAGUUUGAUAAGUGACGACGUUGUCUCUCUGCAUUCGUUAGGAUUGCAUUAUUAGCAACUAACCACAGGAAAUACUUGAUACGUUCGGGUCCUCUCCAACGCCAAACAAGAUCAAAUAUGUCAUUGAGAGGAGGCUGAUUAGUACAAAGGGCUUGGUAUGACAGUUUGAGGUUGAAAGAACCAUCCGAUGACAGGUUCCAUGCAACUUGGUCCGGCAAUUUCCAAGGGGAAGGCGGGGAGAUGGCCACAAUCUUCUUUACAACAUCCUCUGGAAGCCAACCAUUUAGCUUGUUCACAUCCCAGUUUCCUGAAACAUCAAGGAAAUCCAUAAGAGAGCUAGAUGUAUCUAAAGGAGAAUUAUUUACCUGUGUAACAUAUUGUUCCAGCUUGCCCAAGUUAGGGACCCAAUUAUGCUUCCAAAAACUAAUCUCAGUGCCAUCCCCUAUCCUCCAAAUAUGGUUCUGCGAGAUAUCAGGCCAUGCCUUACAAACUCCUUUCCAAAUGUUAGAGCUCUUAGGUUUUUCUAUCCACGAUAGGAAUAAUAUCAUUCCCGGCUUUAUACUUAGAACGAAGCACUCUAGCCCAUAAGGAGUUUCUCUUCUCCACCAGGCCCUAUCCAGCUUUCAUCAGGAAUGCAUGGUUCAUCAAAUUUGCAUGCCUAAUGCCAAGUCCACCCGCUUUUUUGGGAAGGCAGAUUCUGUGCCAGGCUAUGAGAUGGACUUUCUUUGAUUGUUCUGUAUCACCCCAAAGAAAGCUCCUGCAUUUACGGUCAAUGGCAUUACAAGUAGACAAAGGUAAUAGUGCAGUUUGCAUAGUAUAAAGAGGAAUAGAAGAAAGGACAGAUUUCACCAGAGUUGUUCUCCCAGCUAGCGACAAGGAAGAGGCUUUCCAAGAGUUGAGUCUGGAGUUAAGCUUGUUGAUAAUAUCGUCAUAAGUGUGCUUAGAUACUUUGGAAUGCAAAAGAGGAACUCCUAGGUACUUUCCAAGGUUAUCCGUCCUUGCAAACUGGAGGGUUUCACUGAUCUCAGUUCUGACUUGAUUACCCACAUUUUUGGAAAAAUAGACCCGAGUCUUCUCAUUAUUAACUUUUUGCCCAGAACUGUCACAGAACGCCUUGAGACAUCUCUUGAUGAUGUCAACUUGUUGGAGACUGGCUUCAGCAAAAAGAAUAAGAUCGUCCGCGAAGCACAAAUGAGAAAGACUAGGACCAUUUCUAUUCAGUUUGAUAGGUUUCCAGAAGCCAUGGUCAACUGCAGCACUGAUAAGCUAUGAGAGACGCUCAAUGCACAGAACGAAAAUGUACGGUGAGAUUGGGUCUCCUUGACGGAUGCCUCUGGACGGCUUAAAUUCAUCCAACUCCUCCCCGUUCCACAGGACUCGCAUCCUAGCCGUAGAAAUGCAUGCCAUGAUAAGGUUGGUAACCUGAUCAGGAAACCCAAUAUCUUCAAGAGUCUCUUGCACAAAACUCCACUUCACUCUAUCAUAUGCCUUUUCUAAAUCAAUUUUAAUAGCCAUCCAACCUCUCGGUCCUUUCUUAGUUCUCAUGGAAUGUAUGACUUCCUGAGCAAUAAUAAUAUUAUCCGAGCUAUGCCUACCAGGAACAAAACUGCAUUGUGUAGGCUUCACCAACUUUUCCAUAAGGUUUCUAAUACGGUUCGCUAAGACUUUAGUAACAACUUUAUAUGAGACGUUACACAGACUUAUCGGUCUCAUCUGCUUGAGGCUUGUGAUAGGUUCCACUUUAGGAAUAAGGGUGAUAAGAGUCUCGUUAAUCUCAUGAAUUCUCUGAGGUUCUGCAUAGAUGCAUUGAAUAAGGUUGCAAAGAUCAGUCCCAACUCUAUCCCACUGAUUCUGAUAGAAAACUGCUUGUAAUCCAUCUCUUCCAGGAGCUUUGAAGCUCCCCAUAGCAAAAACGGCCUCUUUUAUCUCCUGAACAGAGAUACUUCCCCCUAUUAUGUUGCAGUCAGCCAUACUUAAACAGGGAAAAGCAUUAUUAAGAACAAAGGGAACAACAGGUAGAGAGUCUGUGUAGAGGUCUGAGUAGAAAGAGAGAGCCAUACUUUCGAGUGCAUUUUUAUCAGUAACUAGAUUACCUCUAGAGUCCUGCAAAGAGUGGAUUUUGUUUUUCCGUCUCCUCACCAUAGUUGAACCAUGAAAGUACCUGGUAUUCCUAUCACCAAACUCGAUCCAUUUGCAUCUUGAUUUCUGGUACCAAAGAAUUUCUUCUUGUGUCAACACUUCCUCGUAUUCCUUCCAAAGCUGCACUUGAAGAUCCUCAAGGAAAGAGUUGCUGCCCUGUCUUAAGCUAUUUGUGAUUCCCUGAAGUCUCCGAAGAAUUCUGCUUUUUCGUUUCCAAAUGUCACCAAAAACAUUAUAGUUCCAGUUCUUCAGGGAGUUCUUGAAAUUUGCCAGGCCUUCUGACCAAGAACUCUCCAUACGCCAAGAUUGAUGAAUCAGAUUAUUGAAAUCAGGAUGCAAAAGCCAAGCUGUAAGAAACCUGAAAGGCCUUCUCCCUCUAUUCAGAUCCGGACUCACAGCAAGGUUGAGACAUAAAGGGGAGUGAUCCGACUUGAGAAGAGGAAGGUGUUUGACAUGCGCCUCAGGAAAGGUAAGUUGCCAAUUAAGAUUACUCAGACCUCUAUCCAAUCUUUCCACGAGAUUUCCUCUCUUCCAAGUGAAAGGCCAGCCAAUGAAGCCUAAGUCAAUAAGGCCACAAUCAGACACACAUUCUUGAAAAUCACUGCAAGCACCCGAAUUCGCUCUAUUAGAUCCUCCUUGCCUUUCGUGAUCAUGGAGUAAGGCAUUGAAGUCCCCCAAGAGGCACCAAGGGAAAUUAAUGUUAUCGGCUAAGGAUCGAAUUUUGCUCCACAACGCUCUCCUAUUAACCCGUUGCGGGCUCCCAUAACAAGCUGAAAGCAACCAAAAAUCAGAGUUGUUGCAAGAGACUUUAAGAUGAACUAAUUGAUUAUUAUGUUCCAAAACACAAACAUUCCAAAUACUAUCAUCCCAAAGACACCAUAUGCCCCCAGAAUGACCAGUAGCUUCCACAAUAAAGGACCCAUUCAAUCCAAUCUUAUCCCUGAUGAUCUUUCCUUUAACACCGCUCACAUGAGUUUCGAGCAAAAUAAUGAAACUAGCAAAGUAUUCUUUACACAUAUCUCGAAUAAGAGAGUGGAACGACUUACUCCCUGCUCCCCGACAAUUCCAACAGAUAAUAUUCAUUAAAAAACAAAAAUUAAAGAGGGGUCACAGAGGACCAAACUCACAACUGGGGAGAUAUCCCCUGCACCCGCAUAGCAUUACCCAAGGAAGAAUUCCCAUCUUUAGUCAAAAUAGAUUUCUUAUCAGCACUGGCACUCACUGCCAUGUUUGAAGAUGACGCCACCCCGGUCCCUGGGUCAGGUGGCUUCAAUAUAGGGGUGGAGUUUUGGGUUUGAGUAAGAAAAUUAUUUUUUACCACAUGUGCUUCAAGCAAUGAUGGGUUCCUUCUAGAUAUCUCAAAAGCCUCUCUCUGUUCACCCUGAAGAUGCCUCAUGUGUUCUAGCAUCACCAUCUCCAUGGCUGCCAUCUCUUGUUUCUUCUCUGCACGAGUCACCGUUUCGGGAAGCUUCUCUUUAUGAGAUUCAACAACGUUUCCCUUCUUUGGUUCUUUUGAUUUAGGUGAGUCUUGAUCCAUGGAUUUGGACUUCAGUGUGUUUCCUUUUUCAGUGGGCCUAGGCCCAGUUGCCACAUGAUUUUGUUUUCUAAUUCCUUGUGGAUUUUUGCUAGCUCCCUGUUUGAGAACUUUCUUAUAUAUGGGUUGGGAUUUUCCAAAAGAAUUUUGGGCCUUAGCUACAUAGAGCCCAUCUUGUGAUGAAGGAGCUUGCUUAUCCAUCUCUUCUUGCAUGUCAUGCAUGUUUGUGCCACCUGGUUCCUCUUCAUAGAGGAUAUUAUAGCGAGAGCCACUCCCCUCCUCAUGAUUCACAUGAUCCACAAUAAUAUCAUCACCGCCAGAUAUUCCGCCUUUAACAUUUGAAUGGACCGUUCCUCCCUUUCCGUACGUGAUUGGUGUUUUUUUCUUCCUGAUUUGCCUCCGCACCAACAUUGCCCGAUCUUCAUGUUGCCUUCCGGAUUCCACCGACUUGCUUAUUUGGUCACUAGUAUCUCCACUUUUCUUAUUGGUUCCUUGUUGAUCCCCGUUGCACUCCGAUCCAUGGUGCUCAGCGGAUUCCACCACUGUUUCACUACACUGGUCCAUUCUAUGCCCAUAUCGACCACACGAAAAGCAAAUUUGGUAAAGUCCUUCAUAUUCAAUAUUCAAUUCACUACCAAGUACCGAUAUACGUGGAACAAGUUUCUUAGCAAGAUCGAUUUUCACACAUAUCCGAACAAAUCUUCCUCUUGAGUGAAUGGAAGUAUUACGAUCAAUUUUAAGCAUAUGGCCAAUAGCCGAUCCUACUCGCCAUAAAAAACGGUGGUUAUAAAGUUCAAUUGGCAGAUUUGGAAUACGAACCCAAACCGCAAUCUUCCUAACAUGGUGCUCUGACUUCAAGAAGAAAGGUCUCCAGCGUUGCACAAUGAGAUAGUGUCCGGCAAUCAUCCAAGGUCCCUCCAAAAGCGCGUGUGAGUAGUCUUCCUCAUCUGAAAAAUGAACAAGAAAAUAGUCACGAUCCAUAUCGAUAACAUGUAUCGUACCUUUCUUUACCCAAUCUCUUUGGAGACCUUGCUCUAGGAAUGCCAAUCCCACACGCUUGCCUAAGACUUUUAUGAUAAGAGCAUUCCGCCAUGGUUUACACCAGUCCUCGAACUCUUCCUUCGAUACCGGAAUGGUGGGGCAUGGAUCAAAAGGCCUGUCUUCAAGAUCGUCCUUAUCGGUAUCCUUAUACCAACGAUCUUCCGGAUCUGAAGACUCUUCAUCAAUGUCAUCCAUAUUCAUGCUUUCCUCUUCAAGAACCAUGCUUGGCGAUUUAAGAAGAGAAUCCUUGUAAGUGGCCUUUGGUUCAUUCUCGACAUCGGCAUGCACAACGAUAUCCAUGCAGUCACUAGAUUGAUUCAAGUCAACUUCUUCACGCGUCUUGACUUUUUUAGUGCUUCGUUCUUUCAUAUCUUCUUUCUGGGAGGAAACCAGCAGAGCCUUCUUUCAUAUCUCCUUUGAAAGUUGGAAGCCACCUUAUUAUGUUAAAUAAGAUAACAAAAGUAGAAACAAUUAAACAAAUAAGUAAAUAACCUCGAACAAGCUUGAUUCUACCCUCGCUCUUUUGGUGGUUGCAAGAAUGUUGUCAUUCUUCUCAUUCUCACGAAUCAUGUUAAGGUAUGCUCUUCAAAUCCCAAAUCCCUCCCCUUAUUGUGUUUCCUAUUCAGUUUUCCGUCUUUGCUUCCCUUCAACUUCAUCCCUACACUCUCACUCUCACUCUCACUCUCAGCCCCAAUCACGUGAUGAAGCUGUUGAUUCCUUCACUCGCAUGCUCUCUAUGCGUCGCCCUCCAUCCAUCAUUCAAUUCACCAAGAUUUUGGGAUCUCUUGCCAAGACCAACCAUUUCUCCACCGCCAUUUCCCUUUUUCAGCAAUUGCAAGCCAAAGGAAUCGCUCCCGACUUAUUUACUUUGAGCAUCGUAAUUAAUUGUUGUUGCGGCAUGGGUCGUAUGACGCUUGCUUUCUCUGUAUUGGCCAAGAUUUUCAGAAUAGAUUAUCAACCUGAUACGGUAACAUUGAAUACACUCGUUAAAGGCCUCUUUCUCUGUGGUAGUGUUGAAAAAGCAGUGCGGUUUCAUGACAGAGUGCUGGCUCAUGGAUUUCACUUUAAUCAAGUCACUUAUGGGACCUUGAUCAAUGGGCUCUGUAAGACCGGACACACGUCAGCUGCUAUUCAAGUGUUGAGAAAGAUCCCAUGGUAUGGCGUUGCUCCUAAUGUCUUCAUGUACAGCGCAAUUAUUGAUAGCCUCUGCAAGGAUACACUUGUAAGUCAGGCUUUUCAUUUAUUCUCUGAAAUGCUUGCUAAGGGAAUUUCUCCCGAUGUUAUCACAUACAGUUCUCUCAUUUUUGGAUUGUGUCUUGAGGGUCAAUAUAAGGAAGCCAUUGAUUUGUUAAGUGAUAUGAUGCUUAGAAACAUUACUCCAAAUGUUCAUACCUAUAGUAUUUUGAUCGAUGGGCUAUGCAAGGAAGGAAAGAUCAAAGAUGCUAAGAGUGUAUUGGCUGUAAUGGCAAAACAUGGUGUGAAACCAGAUGUGGUUACUUAUAACAGCUUAAUGGAUGGAUAUUGUUUGGUUAAUCAGGUAAAUAAGGCAAAAUAUAUAUUCAACACAAUGGCCCAAAGUAGAGUGUCACCCAAUGUUCAAAGUUACAGUAUCAUGAUUAAUGGCUUGUGCAAAAGUAAAAGGGUCGAUGAAGCCUUGAAUCUCUUUGAAGAAAUGCGUUGCAAGAACUUGGUUCCUAACACGGUAACUUACAAUACUCUAGUUGAUGGCUUAGGAAAAUCAAGGAGAAUACUUUGUGCUUUGGAGCUUCUUGAAAAGAUGCAUGAUUGGGGUCAACCUGCUGAUAUAGUCACUUACAGUUCUUUGCUGGAUGCUUUGUUCAAUAUCAAACAACAUGACAAGGCACUUAUGUUAUUCAAUCAAAUGAAAGAGAGUGGCAUUGAUCCAAAUAUAUAUACAUACAACAUACUUAUAGAUGGCCUGUGCAAAAGUGGAAGACU
RNAcentral lists this long non-coding RNA (67555 nucleotides) under Arachis ipaensis. RNAcentral's name for it is "long non-coding RNA (AIPA_LNC001308)". The record is from RNAcentral. Lineage: Eukaryota; Viridiplantae; Streptophyta; Magnoliopsida; Fabales; Fabaceae.